UCCAGAGUCUCCAAACGCUCAAGGUUCUUGGUUUCCGUUGGUAGUUUACUAAUCCGUGUACCUGCCACGUACAGGGACUCCAGAUUCUGCAGUCUCCCAAUCUCCCGUGGGAGCUCUGUGAUUUGAUGGCACUCGAAGAUACCCAGAUGCUUGAGCCAGAUCAGCCCACAUAUAUCCACCAGAUGAUCAUUCUCUAGACGACUGCUGUUAUGUAUUUGUAGCACUCGCAGCUUUUUGAACGCCUUGAAGGGGAGACCAUCCAGCUGGGAUUGAUAAACGGAAACAACAAGGGAGCGAGUAUGAGACAGCACAUCCUCAUCUGGACAGCGAUCCUCCGUGCUGAGAUAAAGACGACGGAUCUGUUUGGCAUGCGAGGAGUUGCCGGCCCGAUCCUUUGCUUUGCACACGAGGAAGGCUCGCAUAAUGGGGUGAACUGCGUGCAUCUUCCAAUCCCGCUGCAACAGAUUCCUGUAGACAAGCUUGUCAAAGUAAGCUUCUGCUACUUCAACUUGCGAAACAAAUCCUUCAGCAAUCCAUUUUGUCACCAACCAUCCCCUAUAAAUGCUAAAAUAUACCCCUGAGGAUAUAUGGUACAGUAUAGCAAGCAAGUCCUCAGCUGAACGGGAAGAUCGUCGAAACCAAGGCAUAGACUCUGGACCAGUGGUUUCAAGGAUGGAGUACUCAGAAACCCAUCAUCCAGAACGUGACUUGCCCAUGUAUCCCAUUCCUCCUCAUCACCUUGCACAUGGUGACGACAAACAGAUUACUGCUAGCGGACAAAAAUAAAAUGGUGGCCCGCUGCACAUAUCCGCAAUCUUGGUGGACAGCUCCUUCGCGUUGGUUCCCUCGACAGAUUUGCUCAUCAGUAUCAUAGCUGAUAGUCUUUCAGUUCCGCACGACCAAACUCCUGUUCGUACACACGUGCACCAAUUUGUUCACAUUUCCUAGCUAUACUCCUGUCCCGGGUCGUCAUGAUUAAUUUACAGCGCAGAUUAUUCUGGGGAAGAGCCUUACGGAUGACUUCCCAUUCUUCCCAGGGCCAAAUGUCAUCAAUUAUGACCAGGUCCCUACAAAAUAAAAACAAGACCAAAGAAACUUUAUAACAUUUUGGCCAUCUUAUCCCAUGUUACUAUUACAAAUUGAUUGCAAUGUUCAUACUAACAUGACCUACUAAAAAAAGAAUCAUAGAAAUUCCCAUAGACGACAUGCAGCCAUCAAUUUGGUAGUUAGCCUGGAUAACCAUAGGUACUGGGUCUAAUUUGUUUCUAAAUUAUUCAAUUCACGUCUGCCAUUAUAUGAAAGAGAAUAACAACUUUUCAUGCCGUUGCAAUAACGAAACAUUAUAAUCUAUCUACACAUUAUAAUGGCUAUCAAUCACCUGUGACAGUGUCCAAAUCCGUUGAAUCUUUUCCUCUUGCUCUAAAGGUGCUCAUACUCUGAUUAACGUGCACGAAAAACAACCACGAACUCUCUCCUGCCCGCUGCUAUUUUCGCAUCUCCAUCGCAAACCUCUGCGCGCACAGAGCUUGCAAGAGCAGGCCUCCGAAACAUCGUCUUGCUGCUACACUUGCACGAGUAGGCGCCUCCGAAACAUCGUCUUGCUGCUACACUUGCACGAGUAGGCGCCUCCGAAACAUCGUCUUGCUGCUACACUUGCACGAGUAGGCAGGGGAUCAAGUUUUUGGGGAGCGCAUCUCUGCGCGACUGCUCGCUGUGAACGUCUACAUCCUGCUACUUCUCGGAGGAUGUUCGAGGGACUGCACUGCACCAAAUCAUCACUACAUCAACUUUGAUCGACUACAUCGAACAGCCCAAACCGAAGAUUUAGGAACAAUGUCUGAUUCUUACAUUCUGAACCUUCUCUGGUUCUUUUAUUUCAUUUUGUUCAUUAUUAAAUUUGUGUUAACCAUGAACACUCGCACAUGCUCUGAAUCACUCACAAUAUUCAUGAUUUACUUAAUAAUAUUCGGAAUUAAGAUAUACGUAAAUUGUCUAAAUUUCUAACAUAAGCCCCCCAAUUCAACUAAAACGGGCACAUGCCUUUGGUUCUCCCCAUAACCCUAAUGGCAGGCGCUCUAGUCGCAGCAGCAGCAAAUCCCCACCGGCAGCGACCAACCCAUAAACCCUAAACCCUCAUGGUUGUGGAGCACCAAUGGAAUUCCAUGGAAGCACGACAGCGAAAUGGGGAUACGAGGAAGUAGGGGAAGCAGUUGCUACCUCGCGCCGUCGCGGCGACCAUGGCAUCGCGCUCGGAGCUGAAACCGGGAUGGCACGGGCGCCGGUGGUGGGUAGCGCGCGGUGGCCGCCAGUGGGUAGGGCAGGGGUGGCGGAUGGCGACGGCGGAGGCAGAGAGGAGUGGAGUGAAAAAGCAGAGCGGUGAGAGAAAGUGAGACUACGAAGGCCGAGGACCACCUGGUACUUGCAGCCCAAUGAAAACGAGUUAAUUACGCGCCAGCCAUUAUAAAUCCAUUUAUUGCCCUUUGAAAAAUUGGUUGCGCACCCAACUUUUUUAUUGCCCUUGGUGCCAUUUUCGUCACUUCCGUUACUGUAACUUGCCGUUAGAACUCAGAUUUUUAUGGAAAAAAUAGCCAAAGUACCCCUCUUACAGGCGGGGCCUACUCGGAAGGCUCAACGAAAACCAAUAGGUCUUCCCUUCCCAACCUCUGUUCCCACCAUCCUUCUCUCUGGCGCCCCUGAACGGGAGCUCGAUGAGGGGCAAGUGCAGUUUAUUUUAUUUUUUUCUUUGAAAGAGGGAUCGGAUCCGCAGCUUUCCGUGGUGAGCACUAGAGACGGCGAGCUCAUCAGGUGGGGUCAUGGCUGCAAGCAGUGACGAAGUUAGAGCAAAUUAGAGGGGGGUACGCUUGCCUUGUGGGUGUAUAGAGUUGAAAUGUUAUGGAUGCAUAUAUGGUGAAAAAUUGACCUUAAUCAUUGUUUUGCAUUUUUGUUGUGGGUGCAUUUGCACCCCCCUAAUCCUAACGUAGCUUCGCCCCUGGCUGCGAGGCUGGGGAGGUGGCGACGGACCGAGGGAAGCGGCGCUCGGAAGGCUCGAGAAACUUAGAUGUUGUGGUUAGCCUGAUCAAAAUCCAACGGGUUGUAAUAAAAGGGAAUAUAUAUCCCAAAGGGUUAUAAACAAAUGAAUGAUGCACUAGCUGUGUCACUGCACAAGAACACUGGAUAACGAAAGUGUCAAACUAAUGGAUGUAGCACAUGGGGACCGUCAAGCUGUGCACCUAAAUUAAUUUCAUCUGAUGAGGAGGCAGGAAGAAUUACCUGAAACCUUUAAUUUGACCUUUUCGGUACCUCAUGACGAACGAUCUCCUGAGGGCUAGCUUUAACGAAGAAUCCAAGAUCAUUGCGUUUUUUAUCUUUCUAAACGAAUUCGAUCUGGUCUCAGCAGGCUCCAGCGCACUAGAUACAAAUCCGAGAUGGGAGCUCAGCUCUGUCCCAUUCCAUGUCAAGGCAGAGUGCUCUGCAUCAGCAUCUGCACCACCAUUUUCCCUUCCACUCCUGAUGAGUGCAGUGCAGGAUGCUAGGUGUAAUCCGGUCAUGCUUUCCUCGAUCGAGGAGCGCCAUCUUGCAAAUCGAAUAAUCGAUAGACCCAUUCCGAUUAACCAAAGUGCUUAAUUAUCUGAUUGCGACAAGUUGAAUAAUUGCGCUGUCUUUUUUUUAUUAGAUUAGUCUUUUACCAAGGUGCAACGUACUAGCUUGCUUAUAUGGAUCAGUACACAGUAUUUUGAUGAGCAGGUAAAUAUGCAAAACAGAAAAGCAUAGACGCGGCCGCACGCGUCAUCUUCUUCUGCGACCCGGUGCAGAGAGAGUUUCAUUCUUGGAUUGGCGGGUGGCCCUGUUCACUCAGGUGGAGAUGGCCAGGCCCAGGCCCAGGCCCACUUCAUAGGAGAACUUAUUUUGGCCCAUUUCAACUCCUUGUCUCAUCCAAUCCCUCCAACAACAGAUAGGAUUCGCACAUUGCAGCCAUGCCUAGAGCAAAACCAAACAUAAGCCAUUUUUUAAUUUAACCUUUUUAAUAAUAUUUUAAAAACUACCCCUCCAGACAAAUAUUUUCAUCCCGUGACACUUUUGAUCGCGUCAGUCCGUGUGUCACAACAAGAUAACACUAUCACGCAAUAUGCAUUGGUGUGAUGAGCCUGCCAUGCUAACAAGGGGAGAUGACAUGAACUCCUCUUGUCACGCCAACGCAUGCGGCGCGAGAACAUGAUUCUGCCACGCCAACUUGCCUCGGUGAUGAGUGGCAUGUACAAUUCAAUUUAUCCAAUUUGACCAUCUAAAUAAAAAAGUAUUUCAACAUUAAAUUCUACGAAACUCGGCAUGCACGGUGUAUAUGGUGUGGACGUUCCAUUUUAGUAACAUGCACAAUGCAAAGUGCCAUAUAUUUUGAAAUUUUUAAUUUCAAAGUAGGCUUAUAUCCCACUUAGGGUUCUAGUUAAAUAAACCUACUUGGGAGCAUCUCAAUAAAAUAGCGUUUGAACUUUGAAUGUGAAGCACACUAUAUAGGGUAUAGUGUAAAGGUCCCAUUUUACUAAUAUUUAUAAGAUCAAAUGCUACAUAUUUUGAAAUACAUAAUUUAAAUGUAAGUUAUUUAUUGUCCCUCUAUCCCUCUUAGAACAGCUUCCAAGUGUUAAAUAAAUUCACUUUGAUUUUUUCUUUCCUUAGUUUAUUACUUAAUGAACUUUAAAUAUUCUAAAACUCUAUUUAAUACGGAAGCAAAUAAUUAACAGAACUGAAUUACUAGCGUGAAUCAUACUCAUAUGGCAACUUUUAUCUGAAAAAAUGUUGGAAUGAUUGGAUGGAUUAGUUGCUAGGAGUGUUCAGUGUGCGCAUGCAUGGUGCAAGCUUGGACUGCAUGUGACGAAGAGAAACUAAACUGGAAAAAUAAUCAUAAUCAAGUGUGCGUACAGAUAAUGUCACAUAGAGUCAUGGAGAAGGAAGGUCCGAAUUUGAUAAAUAGUUAUAGUAGCGCAAUUGUUCCCUCAAUCGUCGUUCCCUGAUUUCAAGAUUGCGUUUCCUUUCUUGAAUUUCCUUUUCAAUUCCAGCCCUUGCGUUGUUUUUGUCCCGCUGAGCUCGCCCCUCUGCUGCCGUCGAUAGUCGAAGACGUUGUUCCUCAAUGCGUUUUUGUUUCCGCAUUUUCUCAACUACUUUUUCCCUUUUCUCAAUUUCUUUUUCCCAUUCUUCAAAUUCACCGCUGCGGAAAACCUUACAUUCCAUUUUAUUGACCCAAAGGGUGAUCUUGUUGGGGUGCUCCGCGGCUUCAUUUCUCAGUACAUCAAUUGCCUCGCAGAUGCCCGGACUGUCACUUGUAUAGUACUCGGAGGAUCGGAACACGACCUCCUCAAGACUGUCGAGAUGCUUGAUGCCCAUGUAGUAGUCUUGACUUGCUGUGCCGGUGUAGAACUUGAACUCAAGAUGUUUCAGCUUCGGCAUCGCUCCUUCCCCGAAGGUGAUCACCCGUGGCAGACGGCAAUCAACGUAGAACGUCUCCAGCUUUGAGAACCCUCCAUCAGUGAUGGCAACCGGCUCCUGUGGGAGGACCUCGAACCUGAGUUGGAGAGCCUGCAGGUUGGGCAUAUGCAUCUUCAGAAACUUGAGGUCUUCGUGCACAAGUUUGUAGAUCCUGAUAUCUAAGGAGCAGACAUUGCACAAGUCUUGCUUGACCCACUGCGGGACUUUCAUGUGUCUCCCGGCAACUCUAAGCAUCCUAACUGGUAGGACUUCACACCUCAAGCCGAAAUGGUUAAAGAGGAUGAGGAUGGAUAGGUCAUCCCUGCAGUUUGCUUCAGAAGAGGAACUAAUAACCUCUUCAGCACCACUUGAGCUAAUAACACCCAGAGGUGACAUCAACUUGUGCAUAUUAAGAACCACACGUAAUAACGGAUUCGUGUCUUUACUGCAGGAUAGCUCUCGGACAUUAGUACCUCUUAUGUCCAGAGUCCUCAGAUGCUGUAGUUGCCCGAUUUCCUUAGGCAACUCUCUCACCAGUGUCUCACUUAUAUCCAGAGUCUCCAAACGCUCAAGGUUCUUGAUUUCCAGUGGUAGCUUCGUGACCUUUGUGCUACUUACAUCCAGAGUCUUCAAAGAUUGCAAUUUCUCGAUCCACCUAGGCAGCUCAGUGACCUUUGUGCGACUUACAUCCAGAGUCUCCAAACGCUCAAGGUUCUUGAUUUCCCUUGGUAGCUCCGCGACCUCUGUGCAAUGUACAUCCAGAGUCUUCAAACGCUCAAGGUUCUUGAUUUCCCUUGGUAGCUCCGCGACCUCUGUGCAACUUACAUCCAGAGUCUCCAAACGCUCAAGGUUCUUGAUUUCCCUUGGUAGCUCCGUGACCUGUGUGCCACUUACAUCCAGAGUCUUCAAAUAUUGCAAUUUCUCGAUCCACGUCAGCUCCGUGACCUCUGUGUCACUUACAUCCAGAGUCUUCAAAGAUUGCAAUUUCUCCAUCGACGUAGGCAGCUCUGUGACCUCUGUGCCACAUACAUUCAGAGUCUCUAAGUGCUGCAGUUUCCCAAUUUCCGUUGGUAGUUUACUAAUCCCUGUACCUGCCACGUCCAGGGUCUCCAGAUUCUGCAGUCUCCCAAUCUCCCGUGGGAGCUCUGUGAUUUGAUAGCAGCUCUUAAUAACCAGACACUUGAGCCAGAUCAGCCCACAUAUAUCCACCAUAUCACCAUUCUGUGCACAAUCGCUGCGAUAUAUUUCUAGCACUCGCAGCUUUUUGAUCGCCUUGAAGGGGACAUCCAGCACAUCCUCAUCAUGACCACAAACAACAAGGGAGCGAGUAUGAGACAGCACAUCCUCAUCCAGCACAUCCUCAUCAUCCGUGCUGAGAGAAAGACGACGGAUCACCCCCUUCCGCUGAUUCCCGUCGUAAGCAAUAAAAUUAUCUUCCUUUGCUUUGCACACGAGGAAGGCUCGCAUAAUGGGGUGAACUGCGUGCAUCCCCAUGUGCCGCUGCAACAGAUUCCUGGAGAAAAGCUUGUCGAAGUAAGCUUCUGCUGCUUCAACUUGCGAAACAAAUCCUUCAGCAAUCCAUUUUCUCACCAUGCAUCCCUUAUCAAACCUGUACCGCCGAGGAUAUAUGGUACAGUAUAGCAAGCAAGUCCUCAGCUGAACGGGAAGAUCGUCGAAACCAAGGCAUAGACUCUGGACCAGUGGUUUCAAGGAUGGAGUACUCAGAAACCCAUCAUCCAGAAUGUGCCUCGCCCAUGUAUUAAAUUCCCGAUGAUGUUGUCUCUCUGCUGCCCAUGCUGACGACAAACAGAUUACUGCUAGCGGACAAACAUCAAAUGGUGCCCCGCCGCACAUACCCGGAAUCUCAUAAUUGUUAGUGGACAGCGCCUUCGCACGACCAAACUUCCGCCUCCGCACGACAUAUUUGUUCAGUCUCAUAGCUGAUAGUCUUCCAGCUUCCGCAAUACCAAACUCCUGUUCGUACACACGUGCACCUUGUUCAGUUUCACAUUUCUCAGCUAUACUCCUGACCCGGGUCGUCAUUAUUAAUUUACAGCCCAGAUUAUUCUUGGGAAGAGCCUUACGGAUGACUUUCCAUUCUUCCCAGUCCCAAAUGUCAUCUAAUAUGACCAGGUAUCUACAAAAAAAACAAGACCAAAGAAACUUUAACAUUUGGGCGAUCUUAUCCCAUGUAACUAUUACUAAUUGAUUGGAAUGUUCAUACUCACAUGACCUACUAGAAAAACAUAAUCCUAGAAAUUCCCAAAGACACGCAGCCAUCAAUUUGGUAGUUAGCCUGGAUAACCAUGGGCACCGGGUCUAAUUUGUUUCUAAAUUAUUCAAUUCACGUCUUCCAUUAUAUGAAAGAGAAUAACAACUUUUCAUGCCAUUGCAAUAACGAAAAAGUUCAAAUUACUCCCUUCAAGUAUGGCCGAAGUCUAGAUAACCCCAAUAAACUUUUUGUUGGUUUAUUUUACACCUAGAACUAUGCCAAUUGGUUCAAUUUAUCCUUAUAAGAUUUGUCUUGCUAAGGGGUAAAUUGGACCAAUUAACAUAGUUGUAGGUGUAAAAUGAACAAAAAUAGUUUAGGGGUUAUCAGGACUGGGGGCAUACUUGAGGGAAGUAAUUUGGAAAUUUUCCUUACAUUAACAAAAAAUGAAAUGUAUCGUCUUGAAUCCAGAUUUUAGUAACAGACAAAGAGAUGGAUUGGAAUUAGAUUACACCAAAAGCUAGGUUUUCAAACUAACAUGUACCGCCUAUGGUUUUUCUUGCAAUAUUAUUGGUAGGCAAGAAUGAAUUGGGAAGUCAAAAUCUAGAUUUGUCAAGUCACGACAGAUAGUGUGGGGGCUGCCCCUAAAAGAGAUCCCGAAUGUCAUUCAUAUUAUUCCCUAGAUCAGUAGAUGAUACGGGCAUUUAUCAUAAGAAGUAUCAUAGCCAUACUUCGUACAGCUUUUAUUGAUAUUUUACAUAAGGUUACAAAAGAGAAACAAAGUGCAUACCACUAAGGGUAGCCUCAUAGUAGCUAUACAACAGAGUUCUACGUAGUAUACUAGUACUGCCAAGUCCACAUGCAACUUGGCUCCUAAGGUUGAUCCCAAGAUCCUCAUCGUCUUCAACAACUAUUUCUUCCUCUAUAGAAAGAAAGCAGUAAAGCAAGUAGAGUACUCAGCAAAUCCCACUGUUGUAGAGUUAUUUCAUGUUGUUUUUUCAUGAAGGGCUCUGGUUUGAUAUUUGCCGCAAAGCCUUUUUUAUGCGGGGUGAAAGGUUUUAGCUUUUAAAAGGAAUAUAGGACAUUUAGCAAUAGUUUGUUGAUCUUGGGAAGCGGGAAACUACAUCCCUUCCGGUCCCGUAUUUUAUUUAGCACCAGGAUCCGUGAGGGACUUCCUGAGCUAGCUUUGCCUUAUUUAGAAACAACUCCUCAGGCUAAGGCCGGCGACUCAAGAUUUUUCAUAAAAACAAUGUUAUGACUAAUCAAUGGGCUUGACCAAGUGGGGUCAUAUCUAUGAGCCUCGGCUAUCCAGAUACAUCCUGAGAAAAUAGAUGCAUCAUAAAUGUGGUAUACAAUACCACCAGGCCACUCUGGACCUCAACCUAUGACACGUGUCAACCAGACCUAGGACAAAGUGAAGGUCAUGUUCCAGUCUACCCAUUGCCCACCAUGAUCCCUUGGGGUGGUUCACUAAGUUCAGUUGGUGGGGUGCAAAUCAAGGCCUCACAUUGAUAGCUACUCCCGAGGGUUGUACCUUUUCGACGCGUGUGGUUGUACGAUUCACCAGAUAGACUUGCCCAUGAACCGGUCCUUAUAUGACCAGAGUAAGCUUUUUGGAUAGGAUCCUCCAUCGAGGCUACCCUCUUACUCUCGUGUCUAGACUUAUCUAGUUGCUAGACUUGUUAGUUAUUUUUAUCUAAUUUUCAAAGCACUCACGCCUUUUCGUAUUUUGUAAACCCUUGAAUGACUCCAUAAGUAGUUCCUAGGCGUGGAGGGAGUAUGAGAACCGCCUCCCGGACACCUAGGUAAAUUGGCUGGCUGCCGAACGCAGCUUUCGACACCUUCCCAUCUUCACCGCCAUUGCGGCCGUGCACAAGGCAGACCAAGAUGAUGGUCUCUGGCGGUUGGCGAUCUAGGGUACGAGCGCAGCUUGGAGGACAAGGAAGCCACGCCUUCCUUUCCUCCCGAGGCAGUGCUUCCGCCUUCUCACCAAGCCUUCUGUGGCACGACAGGCCCACAUUACGAGGGCUCUUCUUGCAGUUUAGCCUCCGAACGUGACGUGAGGGACUGUGGUCGGAAGGUGGAAUGCCUGUUACGAGAGUUCCUCUGGCAGUCAUGCGGAGCGGCCAAAGCCACCAAGGGCAAAGAGCAGAAGUCUCAAACCUACCGGAUCUACAACUUGAGCCAUGGGAUCUACAUCCUGAGCCAUGGGACUCCGGAUGCGAAAACCCCCCUAUUUAUAGCCCGGCGAAUGGCCACGAUCCAAGAGCGAUUUACAUCUGUGCCCAUGGACGCGAGGUAAAGGCACCUGACAUCGAGGCAACCUUUUAGCUACCCUUCGUUAAAGGCGCCGUGCCUUGAAACGAUAGUUCGGCUAUCGUAUGUCGAAAAUCGAGGGGAACGUACUGGGCCACUAGGCGCCGGUACCCUUUCACGCGGGCUUCAUCAUUAUCAUCUUGGGUACGAGGCCAACCCCCUCAAUGUGGUUUGACCGCUUCUCACAUGAGACAAAAACACCUCACACCCUUGGGUGUCUCCCCGCAAUGGAACAUUCCAACCGACAGCCCCUUCGCGGCUUCAACAAAGCCCCAAAUGAACUCGGGGGCUCCUGAUGGGUCCAUAGACCCAGUGUCCCCAAUGGGACUGUUUCCUGCUAGACUUAGCCCAACAGAGGGCACAUCGACACCGAGUAUUUGGGCCAGCCCGGCUGCGCACAACCAGGGCAAGAUCACGGCCUAGUCACCAACCUCCUCCGACCAGGAGGUAUGGCCAGCGCUCCGAUCGGAAGAGGCUUGCCAGAGGUGGGGCCACAGUCCGACCCCGACCAGGUACUCCCGACCAGGUUCUCCUGACUGGGGGCUCUCGACUUGGUUCCCCGACCAAGUCUCCACCGUACCACAUACGCUGACCUCCGACCAGGGACAGCCACCUGGAGUGGGCUCGGGGAUCAGGUGGGACGGAUAACGAGACAAGCCCCGAGUCAGCUGGCUGUGCACAAGACCGUACCGCACCACGCCCUACGCACGUCCGCACAGUGAUGCUAUAUAUCUACUUGUAGCGUGAUGAUCUGACGAGGAGAACAGAGACCGAGGACGGAGACCAUACCAUAUCCACCGACAAGGGAUUCAACGAGACUAGACAGCGCCCAUACAUCCUUUCUUUUAUCUUCUCCCAUCCUGUAAGGCCGUCCCCCUUGAAGUAUAAAAGGGGCGGACCCUCUCUCUAUAGGACACACAAUUCUGAACUCUCACACGCCCCAGCUUAGGUUAUGCACUCCCUAGCUCACACAUUGCUCUUCACGCUCGUGUAACACCCAAAUUUUUGAAGAAUUCAAAUUCAUUAAAAUUUGCUCAAAUUAGGGUGUCAUUUAAAUUCUAGGCAUUUAAUUUCAUUUUCUUUAAUUUAAUUAAUUCAUCAUAGGAGUUAAUUGUGCAUUCAUGCUGGAGCAUAAUUUUUGAUUGUUGGAGUUUGAACCAAAAUUUGAAUUCCACAAUUUAAAUUCAAUUUCCAAAACCUUUUCCUUUCUCUUUUUCUUUUUCUUUUUUUCUUCUUCUCCUCCUGGGCCGCAUCUCUCCUUCCUUUCUCUUCUUCUUUUUCAUUCGGCCCAGCGCCUCUUCCCUUUCGGCAGCCCAGCACCACCGCUCCCCCUCCCCGCGUGGCCCAGCCGCAGCAGCUCCGCCGACCCCCUCCUCUUUCUCCUUUGCCGGCCCAGCUCCCGUCACCCCCGCGGCCUGCCGCUCGCCCUCUUCUCCGCGGCCAGCGAACCGCGCGCCAGCCCACAGCCGCUACGGCCCGCCUACCACCCACCAUCGUCUCCCACCUCCGGCCGGACUCUCCUCCGCCCACAACCGCCGCGCGAGAUCUCCAGGUGGGCGCCGUCUUCCCCGACCGGUUUGAAUCCGGGGCCGCCCUAUCUCCAAGCCAUCCGUCCCUAUUUAAGCCGCCACCCCCCCUGCCACGAGCACCCGCGCCAGCACCCCCCAAAACCCUAGCUGCCGCAAGCUCUUGUGCCGCCGCCUCUCUCCGCCGCACAUCGCCGCCAAAAGGUGAGCGCCGCCGCGCCGUGGCUCCCGCCAAGUCCCUAAACGGGUUCCCCGUGUUCCCCGCUCUCUUCUGGUGCCUUCCGCGCGCAAAACUGAGCCCCGUGGUGUUGUUUCGGCCAACUCCGGCGACCCCGCCGCCACUCGCCGCCGGCACCGCAAUGUCGUCGAUGACCGCGACCGUCGGAUCUUGAUCCGACGGCUCGUAGCGGGUCAAUCCGACCGCAUAACGGUCAACCGCGCCGUGCCGCGCCGCUUUUGCUCUUAAGCCCCCGCCUUUUCCGCAAAUCAACCCGCGGUCCAGAUCGCGUUGAAAAUAUUCACAGAUCUGCCCUCGCACUUUUCGGUUUAACCCUUGAUCUUUCUAAAAAUCAACCCACCGUCCGAUUUGGAGUUUUUGCGCGUUAGACCUUCGGUUUAUACGUGUAAUUACGUAUAAGCCCUCGGUUUUCGCGGUUUGGCCCUAAAAGUUUUGUUUUUCUCACAGAAAAGCCCCUGGAUCUUAUUUUAAACAUAUCUUUUGCAUCUUAACUCCGUUUUUCGCGUUCUUUAUAUCCACGUGUUCGUUUUAAAGCGUAGAUCAACUUUUCAAGCUUGUUUUCUCUGUUUAAGUGUGAUUGGUGUACUGUUUCUUACCUUUUGCCCAUGUUUGCUUGUAUGUGCCCGUGUGACACGUGUAGACGUCCCGCAGUUCGAGGGAGUUGAAGACCAAGACUUCGAGGAGUACGAACAGCAGGAGCAAGGCCAAGAAGGUAAGUCGUGUCCUUGAUCACAACUUUUCGUCCUAUACACCUUUACUUUCUCGUACUCAACAUUUAUGCUAUGCACAUGUUAAGAUUAAAUUGAUGGGUCCCAAUUAAGGAUCACCUAGAUUGAUUUACCUUUACCUUGACCAACCGGUUUACUUUAUGUUGGGUAGCUCAUGCUUAGUGCUUACUUGGUAUGGUGGUUUAACUAAACACGAUGUUUAAUCUUGCUUUACUUCUGUUAUACCUUUCAUUAAUACAAGAUCAUGUAUUAUUAAUCGGAACAUGGAGCGACCACCCAGGAAAAUAGUGCUACCGCAAGACUAAAUGACUCUGGUCUUGGCUGAAUAAUUAGAAACCUUAGUCUGGGGUGACCUUACUCGUGAUGAGGCAAGAGGGGGGACUGAGUCGUUGCAUUUUUACCUGGGAUGGGUGGUGCACGCCAGACACCGAAACCUUAGCGGGUUACCACUGACUAAUGAAUCUUUGUAAAGGCCUCGUAGCGUCCCUAUGCAAUCACACCUCGGAAGUGUGGUAUGGUGCCUUGCAAACACCGCAUGGUUGGGUCGAAAGUUCUUUUGAACUUUUACGUGACUUGUGGGUAAAGAUGUGCCACCUCUGCAGAGUGUAAAACUGAUCGAUCAGCCAUGCUCACGGUUAAGAGCGGCCUGGACACUCACAUGAUAAUAUUAUCGGAAGAUGGAUUUAAUUUGUUGUCAUUUCAUUCAUAUGUUGUUUACUUUAUUUAUGAUCAUGUUUAAUUUCGGGUGGUAUGAACUUAUACUUAGUGAAUUGCUAAUAAAACUUGACCAACUUAAUUAAAAGCGAAUGCUAAUUAUGCCUUAGUCGUACCUUGAUUUGCCUUACACUACACUAUUCCCCACGACUUGUUGAGUACCAACCAUAAGUGUACUCACCCUUGCAAAACCGCUGUUCAGACCAAGCUAUUUGGGAGGAGGAGUAUCUACACGACUUUGAGGAGUUCUAGGCGUACGUUUCUUCAGUCAGCUGCCUGUGGAGUCGUCGUCGUCUUUGGAGUUCCGCUGCGUAAUAAAUUAGGCUUUCGUUUUAUUGAGACUUUCGGUCAUGUAAUAAUGUUUAAUACUCUCUUUAUUCGCUUUAGCACUGUCUUUGUUAUUCACUAUUGUCGUACAUGUGUGUAACUUGAUCCUGGCGCACAUGUAUUUAAUGCACUCGGUUUUGUCCUUAAAAUCAGGUGUGACAGCUCCACACUUGUGAUGCACUCCACUCCCAGCACUUAGCGCACGUCUGGGCUCCGGCCAGGCUAGGGCUCAGGCACCCCUCUUCUUCCUCCUCUCAUUUGUACCCUCACUGCAAACUUUGAGCACUUGGGCUCAAAAAUAAAGUCAAAAACCGACCUCCUAACUAGACAUAGGGCACAUUGUCCGAACCAGUAUAGAUCCUAUGUCAUUGUGUGCUAGGCCAUAUCCGAUUAACACACGGCAAAACUACAUAUACAUAUAAUUAUUCAUCGGUUAGAUUUCGCACCGACAAGUACUCCAUAAAACCUUCACAUAAUCAUAUAGGAGGAAAUAAAAAUAACAUGGUGCAACUGAUAAAAACAAAGAAGUUUGAUCGGAUACUUGGUCAAUAAUGCAACAUUGGUCACCUCUGAAUUAUUGUUAAAUUAUAUGCAUUUCACAAAGUUCAAUUGUCUUUGGAUUUUCCAAAAUAAUGCAAAUAAGAGCGGACGCACUGGUUGUGGAACUAGCGUUGCCAACAUAAUAUGAUUUUGUUCAGAAUAGUACACUAACAAAUACAUACGUGGGCCAUGUUUAGUUACCUCCCAACUCCCAACUUUGAUACUAUGCAAAAAGAAGAUUCCCCAUCAUAUCAAACUUGCGGUAUAUGCAUGGAGUACUAAAUGUAGACGAAAUUAAAAACUAAUUGCACAGUUUUGUUGUACUUUGCGAGACGAAUCUUUUGAGCCUAAUUAGUCAAUAUUUGAACAAUAAUUUACAAAUACAAACGAAACGCUACAGUGUGCUACAGUGCUGGCACAGUAAUUUUGCAUCUUCCAAUUUGGCCAACUAAACAAGGCCGUGGUAUUUAGGAACGGAUCAGGAAGUAGAGUGGGAAUGGAGACGACGUACCUCUUGUCAGAGAGGAAAUUUGAUAUGCCUUUGAUGAAAUCAUUUUGCUCGGCUGCAGGUUCAGUGCCACUGCUAGCAGAAAGAAAAUUAGGAAAUUUGAAUUGAAUUGGUCAAUAAUGCCACAUCGGUCAGUUACAAAUGCUAAAUUAUAGGCAUUUUACGAAGUUCAAUUAUUAUCUAUAUGGAUUCUCAAAAAAUAAUGCAAAUAUGUGCGGACGCAUGCACGAGUUUUGGAACUAGCGUUCCAAUUUCCUAACAUAGUAUGAUUUGUUCAAAAUAGUAGAAUAACACACACGGAGUACUUAGGAACACAAUCAGGAAUGAAGUAGAGUGAGAAUGGAGAGGUCGUACCUCUUCUCAGAGAGGGAAAUUGAUAUGUCGGUGACCAUAUUUUGUUCGGCUGCAGGUUCGGUGCCACUGCCAGCAGACAUUGCACAAUCUGUUACUUGGCUGAGGAUGAUACCCAGAAUCUCCGUCAUGUUAGGACUUGGGUGCACGGACACGAAAGCCCGGCAUUGGAAUUCAUCUCCUACUGCGUGAUACACCAGGUCCGCAAGAGUUGUUUUCCCCAUCCCUCCAGCUCCAAGAAUGCAUACCAUUUCGUUCUUCUGAAGCAAUUGGAUGAUCUCCUUCUUUUUUGGUUCCAUGCCCACGAGCUCCGAUGCAUCCUUGUGGAGGAAGAGAGCUCGAGGGUCGGUGGUCAGCUUGCUACGGUUGCAGAUGAUGCCGUCGCCAAUCUUCUGCAUCUCGCCGCACCGCUUCGAUACAUCUUUGACCCUUUCCAUGAAUUCCAUGAAAGGGCUGUCCGUGGCUUCCCGCUGGAUGAAGCUGCCGUCACCACGCUCCAAUCCGAGAGUGAAGCCGUCGAUGUCGUCCUCCAUGUCGUAGGACAGCUCUCGGGCCUCUGUCAUCCAGUUCUUGCAUGCCACAUCAAGAUCCAAGCUCCCCCAUAACUUCCACAGGAGAUGGUGAACUGGCUCGAGCUCGGAUUUGAUGGACUCGAUGCCUCGCCGGGUUCCCUCCUGAAGCUUGUACUCAUCACCCAGCAAAGCAGCGAGCUUCACCAGGACCGGCCCCAACGCCCCGGUUGCUGCGGUCACGGCAAACCGCUUCUCCAUCUCUCUCGCACUCUCUAUGCACAAGCGAAUGGCAGGAGCAGGCUUUCUGUGUAGUGGAGCACUCUCUUUACCUGUGAAAAGUUAAGGGUAUGUUCGGCUUCAGAGCUAAACUUUAGCCCCUAUCACAUUGGAUGUUUGGAUACUAAUUAGGAGUAUUAGGCUAAUUACAAAACUACUUGCACAGAUGGAGACUAAUUCACGAUACGAAUCUAUUAAGCCUAAUUAGUCCAUGAUUUGACAAUGUGGUACUAUAGUAACCAUUUGAUAAUGAUGGAUUAAUUAUGCUUAAUAGAUUCGUCUCGCGAAUUAGCAUCCAUUUGUGUAAUUAAUUUUAUAAUUAUCUCAUGUUAAUCCUCCUAAUUAGCCUCCGAAUAUUCGAUGUGAUAGGAAUUUUAGGGCCCCGUUUGGUUCAAAUGGAAUAAAGUUUAGUCAUGUCACAUCGAAUGUUUAGAUACUAAUUAGGAGUAUUAAACAUAGACUAUUUACAAACCUAUUGCACAGAUGGAGGCUAAAUGGCAAGACAAAUCUAUUAAACUUAAUUAGUCCAUGAUUUGAGAAUGUGCUGCUAUGAAAAUAUGCUGCUAUAAUAACCAUUUGCUAAUGAUGGAUUAAUUAUGCUUAAUAGAUUCGUCUCGCCGUUCAACCACCAUAUGUGUAAUUAGUUUUAUAAUUAACUUAUAUUUAAUCUUUCUAAUUAGCUUCCGAACAUUCGAUGUGACACGGACUAAAUUUUAGCUCAAGAAAUCAAACACCCGCGUGCAAACAUCCUAAUCAUGGAGUAAUGGUAUUACUUUCAGCACGCUACUUGCACUGCAGAAGGCAAUAAUGGCAGACGCAAUAAUGGAGGGAUAAGGUGCCGGUGGACGAUUGUGACCACGCAGCCACCGAGUCAAGUCGUCGGCCCCACCAAAGCAUGUCAGCUGUAGACAGUACAGUAGACCACUCGUCCAAUAAUGUAUCUUUUGGCAUGAUUCACCAAGUUCGUAGGAUCCACCUAGGAAAAGCUAUUAUAUUCAACAAUUUGAAUAAAUCGUUUCAUCUCUCAAUUUGUUGUGUUGCCAACGGCUUUUUUACCGUACAGGAAGGAUGGGGGUGACGUGAUGGCAGCAGCCGGCGCAGCGCGAGCAGGCCAGGGGGAAACGGAACGGAACGGAAACCUAGGGCGCGCUGCUUGCUCUGCAGCAGCAUUUGGCUUGCAGAUGACUAUGGCUUGUGAGCGGCCGUAGCUAGCUUCACUGUGCGCCGCGUCACCCCGUACGGAUCGCCGGGGCAGCUGCCUACCGUCCAUCUCCGAGCCCGGCCCGGGCGGCGAUGCUGGACCCACGCGCAGCGACGCGGCCUCUCUCCUCGCUAGCUAGCUCACUGUGGCACUGUGCAGUCACGGAAGGAGCCGCCGCCCGCUCUUCUGCACUGCACAAGGCAAUAAUGGCAGACGGCAAUAAUGGAGGGACAGGGUGCAGGUGGUCGAUAGUGACCGCGCUGCCACCGAGUCAAGUCGCCGGCACUGUGCUGCGAGCUGCACUCGCAUCAAUAAUGGCAUAGCAUGUGCUGCAAUAAUUAGGGGCUUGUUUGGUUGAACUGGAGUAGUCCAGCCUGUGCACCAGCCGGCCUAGCUCGCACCAGCCAGCUGGCUCCCAAGAGCUAAACCCAUUACAUGCAAGAGCAUGGUAGUUGUUUGCCUGCUCGCACCAGCUAAGCUCUUCCGAGAAAUUGUUUGGUUAAUUGGAUGAGGACGAGUUGCAUGAGAUGAGAAUAUAUAAAUAAUCAUCGUAAUGACAUUUAUUACGGGGAAACUAUUAUCUUAUAGCUCUUAGUUUAUCUUAUUACUCCUUAAUAUUAAUCGAAAUAUGUUAAUAUCAUUUAAUAUGCGCUAACAAUGUAUUAAUAACGUCAUUAGAUGGCUAAUUAACUGCACCACGCGAGCCUGGCCCGGCAGAAACGGCCAAUUUCCUUGCACCGGCGGAGCCUGGCUGCGGAGGGAAUCUUGCACGCGCGGAGCUUGGCCGAGCAGAUACGCAAACCAAAUAAACAGGGAAUCUUGCACCGGCAGAGCCUGGCUGAGGGCUGAUAUAGGCAACCAAACACCCCCUAGAUAGAUUUGUAAUUAAGAAAACAUAAUAGAUCCAAGAUGAUUAUUAUCAGUAUGAUUAGAGUGCACUAGAGUGAUGAUUAGAGAGCCAUGCACAAGGCAAUAAUUAGAUUAUUAUCAGCAUGAUUAGAGUGCACUACAGCAAUAAUGGCUGAUGAUUAUGGGGCAUUUGGAUUUUCAGUUCAAACUAAAAAUUCAUAUCACAUUGAAUAUUCGAAGUCUAAUUAUGAGAACUAAACAUGAGCUAAUUAUAAAAGAGCAACGGGCCAAAGAUUCAGGACGACAGCCUGCAAGUGCCACUAUUGAAGGAUAAAAAACGCGCGGGCAGCAAGGCACCAGCAGUUGUUCUAGGUGAGCAACCCUCUCCACGUUCAAUUCUACCCUUUUUACAAAUAAAAUUCUAGUUUUACUGCGAUAAUUUACAAUAACAAAAUCUAAGAAACAAUAAUAUUAUUAUAUUCUGACAUGUACUAAUUACCGGAUGCUUGCCUUUGCUGCGUGCAGGGUUCGAGUGCCUGGAGAGCACAGGGUUCUUUGGCAUCUCCACGAACCUGGGGCCUGUUCGCUUCAGCUUAUAAGCCGGCUGAAAAGCUGAAACGGCUAAUUUGUUGUGAGAAGAAAAUACUGUUUGGUGGCUGAUAAACCGGAUGAAUAAGCUGAAGCGAACAGGCUCCUGGUCGUGUACCUGGAGAAAAUCCUCCACGGCAGCAACCUGGCCAGCGCCUCCAAAGUCACUACGUGGACCGGCACCAGCUACCUGACCCCGAUCUUCGGCGCCAUCAUCGCCGACACCUUCUUGGGCCACUACAACACCAUCCUCAUCUCCCUCGUCGUCUACCUUCUUGUAAGUCGUAGAUCGUUCAUGUUGAUCCAUGGCCCAUGGCACGCGAUUACACAGAUGGAGGGUUAAUUCGUGAGACGAAUCUAUUAAGCCUAAUUAAUUCAUCAUUAGCACAUAUUUACUGUAGCAUCAUAUUGUCAAAUCAUAGAGUAAUUAGGCUUAAUAGAUUCAUCUCGCAAAUUAGCCUCCAUACGUGCAAUUGGUUUUGUAAUUAGGCGCCGUUUGGAUACAUAGUGCUAAACUUUAGCACAACAGUUUUAGCACACUUUUAGCACUUGUGCAUCCAAAUAUGUGUGCUAAAAGUGGUGUGCUAAAGUUUAGCAUACCCCUUUUCAUUAGCACACCUAAGGGGUGCUAAAAUCUGCUAAUAGUGCUAAAAGUGGUCCCUAAGUCCACUUUUUCCAUGGUUGUCCCCUCUCUCUCCUCUCCAUUUUCCCCCAAGUCAGCCAUAAAUGAGGGUAAUGUAGUCAUUUCUCACCUAAGGUGCUGAACUUUAGCACUGUAUCCAAACAGCUCCAAGUGCUAAACUUUAGCACUUCAUUUGAGAGUACUAAAGUUUAGUACUGUGCUAAAGUUUAGCACUGUGUAUCUAAACGAGACCUUAAACUAUGUUUAAUGCUCCUAAUUAGUAUCUAAACAUUCGGGCCCUGUUCGCUUCAGCUUGUAAGCCGGCUGAAAAGCUGAAACAGCUGAUUUGUUGUGAGAGGAAAACAUUGUUCAGUGACUGAUAAGCCGGCUGGAUAAGAUGAAGCGAAUAGGUCCUAGAUGUGAUAGGAAUUUUAAGAGGUUCUAAAUAUUAUUAUCAGUACGAUUAGAGUGCCCUGCACAAGGUAAUAAUGGCAGACGAUUAUAAUAACUAGAUUAUUAUCAGUACGAUUAGAGUGCACUGCACAAGGCAAUAAUAGCAGACGAUUAUAAUAAGUUUUUAGCGUGUCACACCUGCAAAGAAAGGCUCCGUAGUGGAAGCGAACCGGCCGUUUAACCACACCCGUCCUGCGCCGCGAACCGUUCCCCCCUAGACGCUUUGCAGCAGGUCCGCCCUCCGCCGCCGAAUUCGAUUUCCAGCUAUGGGGCUUUCGUUGCGCAGGUGCCUCUUGCUUGUCCCAUCAAUGGCUCGCUCCUUCACUUGUUUGAUUCUUUUCCCCGAUAGGUUCUUGUUUCCUUGACAUGGUAGUCGAUGACCCGUAUGGUUUUCUUUCCCGCACAGAUCGAUUUACCCCUGCUGGGUCUUGAAGGAUAAAUAUUGAGUCUUGUAGGAGCCUGCCAUAAGUGAUGGCAUGAUAGGAUGUUGAUCUAAACCUUUUUAUAUACGGAGGAAAACAUCCUGAGUCGAAGGAACCAUUUAACCACACCUUGGUCCUGCGCGGCUGCAUGCGCCGCAAGCUGUUCCCCCUUGGACCUCGACGCUUGCCGUCCGCCCCCCUCGGUUUCCAGCUACGGGGGCUUUCGUCAAGCAGGUGACUCUUUAGCUCCAUCUCUGGUUCCUCCACUUCUUUGAUUCUUUGGGGCGAUAGCUUCUUGUUUCCUUUUUUUUUAUGAAAAGCUUCUUGUUUCCUUGCCAUGGUAGUAUAAUAUGCGCUGAUGCCUGGUGAACAAGAACAACCUUUUUCCCUGAUGAACUCGGUUUUAUUGAACUAAUGUAUGCUGAAAAGACAGCAUCCAGCUAGAUUGAUUUCAGUUUUGAUAAGCCAUCUUGUUUUUUCGAGAAAAAAAUUGGGAUGCCAUCUAAUUCGAAUCAGUUAGUAGUUUUAUCCCCAGUAGCAAAGGAGGUGGCGAGGGUCUGGGGUUACUAUAUUUAAUUUGGUUGACUUUGCGUUCAGUUAACAGGAGAAUUUGAUGACCCUAGGGAAGUCUUUGAAGUUGUCAACCGAUCCACAUAUUCUCCAAGAUCUUCAACCGAGGGAAGCCUUUGUUCCAGAACCUGCUGUGAACACCGUAUAUAAGAAACAAGAUCUGCACUCGCUGCGAGAUGGCACAUGUGCUGUCAAUGCUAUGUAAUUGAAGGCGGUUGUUAAGAUACUCCGUCUACGGUUGCCGGUGUUUUUUAAGAGUUUUUUUAACGUGUCACACUCUACAAAGAAAAGCUCCGUAGUGGAAGCGAAGCGUCCCCCCCUAGACCCUUUGCAGGUCCGCCCUCCGCCGCCCAAUUCGAUCUCCAGCUAUGGGGCUUUCGUUGCGCAGGUUCCUCACUUCACUUGUUUGAUUCUUUUGCCCGAUAGGUUCUUGUUUCCUUGAAAUGGUAGGUGAUGACCCGUAUGGUUUCCUUUCCCGCACAGAUUUAACCCUGCUGGGUAGCUAGCAGUGGAUCGAUGUGAAGAGAUCUGCAACCGAGCUAGGGAAAUCUUUGCUUCAGAGCUUGUUGAUCAAGACCGCAGUGAACAAGAUGGAGUUGGUUGUCGGUGCUUCAGAAGCCGCCAUGAGGUCUCUGCUUGGCAAGCUGGGUGGCCUUCUCGCCCAGGAGUAUGCUCUGGUCAGCGGCGUCCGUGAUGACGUCCAGUACAUUUACAACGAGAUGGCCAUCAUGCAGGCCUUCCUCCUCGACCUCAGCUCUGCCCCGGAGGAGCAGGGCCAUCGGAUGAAGGUCUGGAUGAAGCAGAUCCGUGACAUGACCUACGACUGCGAGGACUGCAUGCAUUACUAUGCCCACCUCGUCCCUAAUGACUCCAUCAGUGAUGUCAAAUGUGCCUUCAUAGUCAGAACCAUAUAUGAACUCAGGACAUGGUGGCCUCGCCGUGAAAUUGCUUCCAACAUUGCUGACCUCAAGAUCCGGGCACAACAGAUUGCCGAACGACGCGGCAGAUAUGGAGUUGACAACCCAAGCAACUGCAAUGGCAACAGUUCCGGAGCCCGUGCCGCUACGUAUGACAUUGCGGAGCAUCAGGUCGCCAGCCGUCAGCUCAUCGGUAUGAAGGAGCCUGUGGGUGUGACGGCUGACAUGAACAAGCUUGAGGAGUGGGUAGACAGACCUGAUAAGGACAUUGGUGUUCUGUCCAUAAUCGGAUUCGGCGGUGUGGGGAAGACCACCAUUGCCAUAGCAUUGUACCGGAAAGUCAGUAAUAAAUUUGACUGCCGUGCUUGGGUUAAUGUGUCCCAGAACUACGACAAAGAGGCAGUCCUAAGGAGUAUUCUGAAACAAGUCAUGCUACAAGACAAAGAUCAGAUUUCUCGGGAAAAAAAUUUCCAAGACGGAGAUCAGGAGGCAGUCCAAAGCACAGGGGAGGGAAGCUCGGAGAAGAAGCACCUAGCAGCACACGUUAUGAACACAUUAAAGCUGCCAUUCGUCAGAGGGCACAAGCAGCAAGGCAAUGAUGGGAGCUCUGAUGAAAAGCAGAUGAAGAUUGAAACAAUGUACGGUGAUGAACUCGUCAACGAAGUGAAAAAGCACCUGAAGGAAAAGAGGUACAUUUUAAAGAUUAUUUCUUGUUUAUUGAUUACUAGAUCUGUUCACCGGUUUAGUCAACGUCAGCUAGAGGGAAUUAAUACAUAAUUUAAAAGACGCUCAUGCAGACUAUGAUGAUCUGAUGACGGCAAUGAUUAGCUUUUCACCGUGGCUACCAUUAACACCACUUAAGUUCAUAUGACAAUGCAAACAUGUGAAAUAAGAACACACUGAUAUACAGCUUAAUAGAAUUAAUGAUCAUAAUCAUAAGUGUAGCAGUAAAAUAUGGAGAUCCCCUUUUCAUCCCAGGGUAGUUUUGCAAAAUUGCAAACCCUCUUUCUAUAGACAACCAAGAUACGUGCUAUGUAAAUCUAUGUCGAUCAGGACUUCAUGUGGACGAAUUGUUUCGGGAACGCAAGAUAUAUGUCAAGGGCUUUCAUCUUUGGGUUUGGGUACUUGAAUCGGGCUUUGGGUUUGCCAACCAACAGGGACUUGGACAAUUGGCCUGACCCCUAUAUGGAUCUUCUUGUGCUCAUCUUCCUCAUGAAGGCUCCUAGAAAUGUUCCAAGUGCAGGCCCAAAUCAAGAUUUGUACAAAAACUGCCAAUAUAUGUUGUAUUUUAGGCGCCAAGUGGCCUGAUAGUAUAUGGAUUAGUCCAAAAAUACUGCUAAAUGAGUAUUAAAAGUUUCCAUUAUCAAAAUUUCCCCUUAUUAAUGAGGGGCAACAACACUUCCCCCAUCAGUUUUCUGAUUUUUGUUCUCCCUUUUUUGUUUCAAAGGCAAACUCUAUUGUGGCUAAUGUCACACCCGAUUUUUAAACAAAACCAAGUGCUACCUACAUGUAUGUCAGGAUCUAGUUUCAUACAUAUAGUGACAUCAUUAGUGAAUAACAGGAACAAUAUCACGUAAAAAAGAUACAAAUAAGGAUUUACGAGACUAUCAGAGAUACAUAGCUUAGAUCCUUGGAACGGAUGCUCCAAACUUCACAGGCAAUCGACUAGGGGUUGCAUACGCCUAGAACUCAUUAUCAUCUUCAGAAACUUUACACACCUUCUUCUAAGUAGCAGUAAGCAAGGGUAAGUACACUUAUGGUUGGUACUCAACAAGGCCACAAGAAAUAAUCAUAAUUAAUGAUUUGAGUCCAUCUUCAAAUUUAAUUAAUCAUGUGAGGGUCCAGGUCGCUCUUGCCCGUGAGCGCGGCUGAUCAAUCAGUUUUAGACACUCUGCAGAGGUUGUACAUCUUGACCCACAAGUCGCGUAAAAGUUCAAAUGAACUUUGGACCCAACCAUGCGGUGUUUGCAAGACACCAUACCACACUACCGAGGUAUGAUUGCAUAGGGACGCUAUGAGGCCUUUACAAAGAUUCAUUAGUAAGUGGUAACCCGCUAAGGUUUCGGUGUCUGGCGUGCACGACCUAUCACAGGUAAUGCAACGACUCAGUCCCCCCUCUUGUCUCUUCUCAAGUAAGGUUACCCCAAACUAAGGUUUCUAAUUAUUCAACCAAGACUAGAGCCAUUGAGUCUUGUGGUAGCACUGUUUUUCUGGGUGGUUCUCCAUGUUCCAAUUAAUGCAAGAUAUUCUUAUAAAUAAGCAUAGAUAGAAGGAUGGUUAGAGACACUAGCCUUUCUCCAAUGAAAAGAUACCAUUACUGCUCUUCGACUCUUGCUCUCUUGAACCUCUUAAUAUUCAAAUCUUCCGAACAACGAUCCUUCUAAUUGAAGCAAUUACCAGCACAACAUACAAGCAAACAAAAUAGUACAACUAAGAACAAUACACCAAAACAAAAGAAAGCUUUAGAAGAACGUACUAAAGAACAGGGCUCGAUUCAAGGUCACACAAACGCGCGAAACGCUGAGAUCGGAGCUAUUGAGAUGUUUGAUUCACAUAAGAAAUAAAAAGACUAUAUGCUUGAUUCAUUUUUAUUAAAUAAAACAUGUACAUAAGUUAUUUUAGAGAAUUACCCUAUUUGGAAUUAAGCAAGUUAUAUUUAAUCAUUGAAAACGCGGUAAACUUAAUCAUAUUUUAUUUGUAAAUAUUAAAGUACAAAUUAUAUCAAUUUAACAAUUAGCUUUAGAAACUCAGAGCAUGUACAAGACAUCUAAUCGAACUUUGUAUUUCGGAUUCAACUAAACAUGUUAAUGCGGGAAAAUGUAUUUAUAAUACUAUUAAGCAUGUUAGUUUUAUUUAUGAAAACUGGUGUAUCACACUAGAUAUCUUUUAUUUAGAAAAGCUAGUUAUAAUUAGGAAUUAAUCAAUUAAAUCUUAGUUUGAAAACCAGGAUAGAACCUAAUUAACUUUUAUUUAGAAAACUAAUUGAAUAAGAAUGAGUCAAAUUAAUAUUGAUUAUGAAAAAUCGAUGUAAACCCUACUACAUAAAUUCUUAUCAAGAAAAGAAUUCAAAUAGGCAUUAAUCAAAUUACUAUUAAAUUUAUUUUUAAAGACAUGCGAGGGCAAACAUUACCAAUAACGUAUAAUUUAUGUUAUCGUGAACCUGACACAACUUGAACGAGUAGAAACGGAGCUAAAAUGUGGAUUGUACGAGCUAAACAAUAUACUCCAGGAGUUAGCAAGGAAGAUUCACCAAACUCAGUGAACAGAGCUCGUGAUUAGAUCAAAGAUCAGGGUUAGAUUUGUACAAGUGCAGGGCUCGGGUUAGAAAGAAAGACUGCGGGAAUUGCAGGGUUUUCUAUGCAAGAUUUGCAAGGCAUAAGAAUAUCGGAUAUGCCACGGGCUAGAUCAGAAAAUAGCCUUUCUUCUACCUUGCGCAUGCCUGCGCAGGAAGGGGCGGCGCAUACACCAGCAGCUCGCCGAUGCUUCUUGGCGCGACGGGGCCCUUGGCGGCUGGCGCAAGCAGGGAGAAAGGAAGAGAGGCGCGAGAAGGGGGUCCUCACCGGCGGAGGCGGCGGUGAAAGAGGUGCACGACAUCCAACGGUGGAAGAUUUGAGUGGCGGCGGUGAGGAAAAGCGGCGGUGGCGCUGCUGGUUUGAAAGGGGCGGCGGCGGUGGCAAAACGGAAGGAGGGGAGCCAGGGACGGGCGCUACUUAUAGGCCACGGAGGGGAGCUGAGGCAGCGAAAUUGGCGGAGUAAUAGCCAGCCAUGAAGGAGUAAUGGCGCCGGUUACUGGGAGUGAAGGGGAGGGGCGUUAGCGGCGCGUGUGCGUGGAGGAAGUGGGGACGGCACGCAUGCGACGUGGGGGAGGUACUGCGGCGGUUUCGGAGUGGAGCGUGCAUUCAACUUCCAUUUUCCACAUUCCUAUAGGGCUCGCUUUGUGCAUUUUAUUCUCUUCAUGAGGUCUCCAAAAAAAAUCUACUCCAGUCCCAAAAGUCAGUUGCCACCUCUCAUAUGGCAUCACCCAUGUUCCCUAACCUAGCCGCCGCAUCAACUUCCAUGCAUUAUCCACAAUUUUUCCACAGUUCUCGAUCAUCUCUACUUCCACAUCUAUAAUCUGGAUAAUUGAUUAAUUUGUCUAUGAUCUGAGUGCCUCGAGACACCGUUGACCACUCGGAAAUCGGGACCUCCAUGAUGAAUGAACAAUGGCUCGAUAUCCAACUGCUCCCAUGCGUAGUGAUCACUCAAGUGGCUAUUAGGAUUCGCGAAACAUAUGAGAGACAAAGGAUAUGAUUGGAUAACUGGAGUUCAAAUAUAUCCAGUUAGAACUGAAAGAUGAACUGAGCUAGAUAUUGAAGAUUAGCUCAAAGAGGAACAUCUCGAUCUCGGACUGAAGUUAAACCCAACCUGAGAGAGGAAGUUAGAGAAUAGAGAUAGCAUUGGAAAAUGUAUGAGGACUUGUCGUUUAACUCUGAACGGAGUUUAAGUUGAGCAAAUAGAUUUAAGAAUAAUGGUUUAAAUUAUGAACUGAGUUCAAACUUAAACUGGCACAAAUAAAGGAAGCUCAAACAAGAACACGAGCAUUGAAAACAUUUUAAAACACAAAAUAGUUUGCCCAUUUUGAAGUUAGUAUACGAAAGAAAAAGUUGACAAGUUUUAAAAUGGUUACAAGCAAUUUAAUAAUAAAAUCUCUAAAUUUUGAGAUUUUUUAAAUUCUGAAAAUACGGUGUUUUAUGAAAAAGAUCCUCGCAGAAAAGAUAAACUUGAUUUGUUUUACCGUCUCAUCUCUAAUAUAUAUAUAUAUGUUCUCCUCUUUUCUUGACAGCUACCUGCUCUUAAUUGAUGACAUAUGGUCUGCAAAAACAUGGGGGGAUAUCAGAAAUUGUUUGCCUGUAGAGAACAAAAAAUGCAGUAGAAUAAUAGUGACUUCAAGAUUUCAAGCUGUUGGUGCAGCGUGCUCACCAGUUGGCACAACUAAUCUUCUGCAUACAGUUGAUUUUCUCAAUGCUGUUGAGUCCAAUAAUUUGUUCAAGCAAAGUGUCUAUGAAUCCAAAAGAAGCAAAGAAAGCGAAAAGGUACGGGACAAAGUCCCAGAGGAGAUAUUGAAAAUAUGUGGAGGGCUGCCGUUGGCCAUAGUCAGCAUGGCUGGUCUUGUAGCCUGCAACUCAAGCAAGGCCCUUAGUCACUGGGAUAAAGUUUGCAAAUCAUUAUUUCCAGAGAGUGUGACUGCUCUCUCCUUGGAUGGGGUUACAAGGAUACUUGAUUUCUGUUACAACGAUUUGCCGGGAGAUCUUAAGACCUGUGCACUGUACUUGAGCAUGUUUCCAAAAGGUUCCAAAAUUAGUAUGAAGCGUUUGACUCGGCGAUUGACAGCUGAAGGUUUUGUUAGUGAGAAGCAAGGGCUCACGGAGGAGGAAGUUGCAGAGACAUACUUUAAUCAGCUCAUGAGAAGGAAGUUAAUACGUCCUGUGGAGCACAACAGCAAUGGAAAAGUAAAAACAUUUCUAGUUCAUGAUAUGGUUCUUGAAUACAUCGUUUCCAAGUCAAGUGAAGAGAACUUUAUUACUGUGGUUGGCGGCCAUUGGAUGAUGCCACCACCCAGCAACAAAGUACGUCGACUCUCUAUGCAAAGCAGUGGUUCCAAGCAUGAAAAUAUGACAAAAAACAUAAACUUGUCUCAAGUGCGGUCAGUGACUGUUUUUGGAAGCCUGAAGCAAUUGCCUUUCCAUUCAUUCAAUAAUGGAAUAAUACAAGUGCUAGAUCUUGAGGGUUGGAAGGGUUUGAAAGAGAGACAUCUGAAGAAUCAUAUAUGCAAAAUGCUUGUGUUGAAGUAUCUAAGCCUCCGAAGAACAGAGAUUGCAAAAAUCCCCAAGAAGAUUGGAAAAUUGGAGUAUCUUGAAACUCUUGACAUAAGGGAGACACAUGUUGAGGAGCUACCCAAAUCUGUAGAGAAGCUAAAACGGAUCAGUAGCAUACUUGGUGGCAAUAAAAACCCACGGAAGGGCUUGAGGUUGCCUCAAGAAAAAAUUAAGGAACCAAAGGAAAGUACAUCUGCUCAGGAAAAAAGCGAGGACGACACAGUUACAAGUACGUCCACGCAAGAGAAAAAUAAGGAGGGAAUGAAAGCACUCCGUGUACUGUCAGGGAUUGAAAUUGUUGGGGAAUCAACAGCUGUCGAUGGCCUUCAUCAGAUGAUAGGGCUAAAAAAACUUGCUAUUUACAAGCUCCAUAUAAAGAAAGAUGAUAAAAUCUUCACACAACUACUUUCCGCUAUUACGUACCUUUUCAGCUGUGGUCUGCAAACUCUGGCAAUCAACGAUGAAGGUUCUGAUUUUAUCAACUCACUGGACUCCAUGUCCUCACCUCCAAGGUACCUCAUCGCCCUUGAACUGUCUGGGAUGUUGGAAAAGCCCCCAACGUGGAUAUCCAAACUCCACACCCUCAGCAAGUUAACGCUAUCUCUGACAGUUCUCCGGACUGAUACAUUCAAGCUCCUCCAGGACCUGCCAUCACUGUUUUCUCUCACAUUUUCACUUAGUGCAGCAAAGCAGAAUCAGGACAUAAUAAAGGACAUCCUCGAGAAGAAUAAAUCAGAUUCUGAUGGGGAGAUCUUUGUUCCAGCAGGAUUCCCGAGUCUUAAGCUGCUACGCUUCUUUGCACCCCUUGUGCCAAAGCUGGGAUUUGGUGACAAUGCAAUGCCAGCAUUAGAGAUGAUUCAGGCGCGGUUUGAAGCCUUUGAAGGUUUAUUUGGCAUCGACACAUUAGAAAACCUCCGGGAGGUGCACCUCAGAGUUAAUGGCCUAGCUGCGGAAUUAAAAGAAAGUGAUGAAGCAGGAACACAAGAAACAGAAACCCCUAAAAUAAAAGAAAAGGAAAGGAAGGAAGCUGCUGAAAUCACCAGGUUCUUGGUCAAAGAUUUGAAGAACUACACUACUGAUAAGCUGAAGGUAAUCGUUGACUAUAUUAUCAAUGCUUGAAAUUGCAAAAUAAUUUGGUUGUUGUUUGCUAAAUAAAUAGGGAUGGCAGGUAUAUCCAUCCCAUGGUACUGUGUAUUUUUAUUUCAUUGUCAAUUGAUUAGUGUUUCGUUCUGUCAUGUAUGGCUGGAGCUCCUAGAUACACCGUUUCAGUGUUUGUUGGGGUAGUAAUAAAAGGGGAUACCCAAAGGAACUAUUGUAAUCUUUAUGUUGUGUUGUACACUAUUUCCUAUUGCUACUCAGGUAUUAGUUUACUCUGAUGAACUGAUGUACUCUGAUCAACAUUGCCAAUUUAGCUGUUUAAAUAAUGUGUGUGAAUAAAGUCUCAAACUGGUGUAUGUAGCUGUGUACAUGAGUUUAGGAAAACACCGAACAACUGCUACAAGAGGGACAGGGCAGCACAAGGGCAAGUGAGACAUGGGGAUCGUCAAGCUGUACACCUAAAUUUCAUCUGAUGAGGAAGCAGGAAGGUUAUAAUCGCGAUUACCUCAAGGCCUCCUGAGGGCGCCAGCCGACGACUGCAGCGGCAGUGGCGGCGCCGGGGACAGGAGCCAGUCGAGCUUGGCGGUGCCUAAUUCGAUCGCCUCCGUGCCCAUGGAGGCAUCGAGCAGUGGAUGGGGCAGAUGAAAAAACUGUUCCCACGUGUGCGGGCAUGUUGUUUAGAUGGGCCGGCCCAACGCGGGCACCCACUACAGACCUACAGUUAGAUUUAUUAGAUUUGUUGCUAAAAUAUCGGUAUUAAGUCCGAAACUCCCAACAAAUGACCUAUGAGAAAAAAAAUGAAAGAAUAUGUUACAUUUUUCAUACACUCUUCUCUUAUGGAUAGGAUGAAUAAAGAAGAAAGUUUUUCGAUCACUUACUUUGGUCGCCCAUUUUUUAUCUUUUUUUAAUGCAAUCUUUUUUAAUGCAAAUAGAUUUAAUCUAAAAAAUUCAUUUAGAUUAAGUAUUACGUCUCGUUUGAUCUGUAAAAAAUCUUCUUUGUUGAAAUGUUUCCAAAAUUCGAGGAGCCUCGAGCGUGCCAGGCCAAGCCCGCUUGAAGCCGAAACGAAUAUAAUUCGUUCCCGGCCAGAGGGCGAGUACAAAUCCAAGAGGUGGCACGACUUCCACGUCAGAACGUAUGAUCAGUGAGGUCGUCAAAGGCAGAGUGCACUGCAUCAGCAUCAGCACCAGCAUUUUCUCACGGGAAUCUAAAGUCCUUAAUCGUGCCAUUGGGACAAGUUGAAGCGCACAAUAUACAUUAUGCAUACAUAUAUACAUUCCUCAUAAUAGGUCACCAUGUCCAUGACCGCUUGUCGGUGUUUAGAUCCGGCAACCUACUGUGGAGAGGUGCCUGAGAUUAGAAACUCGAAGGUAAAUGCAGACACACGAUUUAGACAGGUUCGGGCUGUUGAAUACCUUAAUACUCUAUGUCAUGUGUGAUGGUUGGAUUGAAUUAUUUUAAAAGGGAACCCUACCUCACCUUAUAUUGUCGGGUGUAGGGAUACAAGUCAGUUGUUUACAAAAAUAGUCGGAUUUGAUUAUACGAGUUCUACUUUUAUUGCUACGAGUGCUACGUAGACUACGCCGUCCUGCGUCAUAGUCUCCAUGUUCGAUACAUCUCGGUGUCCAGCCCCAUAUUUAGGACUGUCCAAACUUUCUGAUGGACCCAUAGAUGUAUGUCCGAUAAGCCCUCGAUUACAUUUUAGUUAAAUGUAGCAGUUCCAAAUACUUUUAUAGACUUCACCGACUAGUCCUAGUUCUUGUGCUUUUCGAGUACUUCAUCUAGUUAAGUUUUCAAAGGGACCAAGAAAUAUCAUGCAGCUAGAAUGUGCUCAAGCCUCGUUGAUUUUAUCUUGUAUCCUUCAUCCUUGAAUUUUAUCCAUAUGGAGUAGCCCCCGAACCUUAUGUUGAAUCGAAGAAUCAGGUUGAGGGUCAAUCUGUAAUUUGCAUCAAUUUCCCCUUAAAACAUAGAGAAAAAACAUUUUAUCGGUGGACAUGUGGCACACAGCCCCCGAGCCUUUUAUCGACUAGUUUGGUAGGUACAAGGGUCAACCUCUGGUCAUGACCAUCUUUGAAAGAAAAUCUUAUCCGUUCCGAAAAUAGAGGUAACUGCCAAUCAGGUGUUGCAAAAUCCACAGAUCCAUUAAACUUGAUAUUCAUUUAUUAGCGUUGUUGUUACUAUGCCGCGGUUAUAAAUAACAGAGGAAUCCAUCCCUUACCUUUGUCAUCUGCCUUUCAGACUUCAACGCUUGAGCCCCAACACCGCUGCUGCCUGAACUCUGAGCGCUAGCGCCGUCGCCCCCACCACUCUGGUCCUGAGCUUAUACGACAGAAGAAACUCGUGACAUCAAGGAUGGGGAGGAAGGUUGUUGUUGUCAAGUCUGCCGUGGAGGAAAAGCAGAGGAAGUCUGAUAAGAAGAAGUUGUAGUUGCCUACGUCCAAGUACGGGAAGACAGAUCAGACUGCGCCGCCAGUAAGGUACUAAAUAGCAUUUAGCGGUAUGGUAGCGGAUUAAGGUUGGUGUAGUGGAUCGCGGAUAGCGGAUGUUAUAGCGGACGCUAAGUCCAAAUAGCGGAAUUUCAAAAUAGUCAUAUUUUUAAAGCAUAUAUGAAUAUUAACAUCAAGUUUACUUAAAAAAGUUAAAAUUUUAAUUUAGCCAUUACAUUUCACAAAUAAAUAGAUAUAAUUAAGAUGUAUGGAUAUAUAUUAACAUUAAACUCUCAUAUCAAUAAAUAAAAAAAUUCAUAUUUCAUCUCAUAAUGCUUUGUCACUACCUAAAUAAUCAUUUUAAAACAUUAUUAUUACCAUUUGAUUCAUGUUCAUAUAUCACCUAAAUCAUAAAUGUAGCGAAUAGUGGUAACGGCCGCAAUAACAGGCAAUAGUGGAUAAUAGCGGACGCUAAGUCCAAACAUACUAUUUUUAGAUCCGAUACCUUGUAGCAGUAGCGGUACCUACCGCUACCGCUAUAGCAGCUGCUAUUGCAGGCGUUAUGAAUACUGUUUAGUACCUUGAUACCGGCAUCUUUUGGAUCCGAAUACUCAGUGAGAAAUAUAUUUGUGCGAGUACAAAAUGAAUGAAAUAGAAAACGGACAGAGCAGGGUAUUAGUAUGUUGGCCCAAUUUAUCUUUAUCUUUGGUCGACCUCUGGUGUAUGUGGACCCUUCUUAGGACAAGAACGACAGUGGGCUAGGUGCAGCUCAAAUUUUGACCAACUGAGCUCAGGAAGCGCACUCACUGCUCUAGUAGUACUGGUUCGCUUAUGCUUUUCUUCCAUUUCCUUUUUGUAGUGAAUUAUAUUUCCACACCCACAGAAUUGCUUGGUGAGCUCAGAAAAACCCGCCGGCCAGUCAUUCGCAGACUUGUGGCGAGAAGCCCCUACAGGGCUGCCGUUCUCGAAGCCGUUUUGAAUCUGAUUCGCUAGCUGAGGUCGUCAAGGCAGAGCGUGCUCUGCCCCAGCAUCUACACGACCAUUAUUUUUCACAGGAAUCGAUCUCCCAACACACCGGACGAGUGCUCCAUGCAUCGAAACAUAGCUUGGGCUUCCGGAGAUUCGACGCCCUGAUCUCCAAUUUCAUCCGGAGGCACAGAACUUCACCUGAACAGUUAAACUGCUCGAGGAAGGUGUCCUUACCAAACAUUCAUAUUUCUUCAGGCUCUGUUCGGAACUUGAGAAACGCUGAUUUGCCGAAAAUGAUCUCGCAUUACACCUCUUGUGGUCCGUAGUCUUGUUUCAUCAUUGAUAAAAAAGCAUUCCCAAACACCCUAGGCUGUCCUGUACCUUUUGCUUUUGUGGCUACCAAGCCAGCUGCAACAACUACUGCCAAUGGGUUGCCCCAGCACACUUUAAGUACAUUUUUGAGAAUAUUUGGAUAAUUUAGGCAAUCUUUCUCUGAAAAAGACAUCCUACUGAGCAGCAAGAGCCUAGAGUCAGAAUCAGCAGGAGGCUUUAACACAAAGAUGAAGUCAAUUGGCUUCACACAGCAGAACUUGGCUAACUUCUCAGCCUCAGUUGUUGCUAGUAUCCUACUUCCGGGGUUGUUCUCUGGAAAAGCACAUGUGAUAGAGUUCCAAGAGGAAAUGGUCCAUAUGUCAUCAAUUACAAUGAGGUACCUGAAAACAUAUUUGUCAAGGUGCAUGUCAGUCAGAGCUUUAAGUAACCGUAUAACAGCUUAUUCAAUGAAAGCUGAUCGUCAUGCAUGUUACAUUAUCUGUUUGCAUAAAUGACAUUGUUUCAAAACUCUUCAUCUGCUUUGCCCACAUGCUAUACCGGACUUGCUUUCUGUGCAUACUUUACGGGAAUUUGUAUCUGUGGCACUAGCCAUGUCAAUUGCAGUGGCACACAAUUUCCAGCAGCAUGGACAGAAAGUGUUAGUUUGUGAUGGCAUGCGAGCAAACUAGCAAAAUCUCAAUGAUGUACUCAUAAAUUUCCGAAUUUCAAAAUGCAUUCUUCACAAAUUAAAAAAACCUACAAAAUUUACAGGCACUUUACUUAUCUGUGUACUUCUGACACCGUUAUAUAUAUUCUUAAUAGGCCUUCAGGUUGUAACAGUUGGUCAGUACCAAAAAUUUCAGGAAGUAAAAAUAUAUUAAACUCCACUCGAUUCUUGGACUGAUGCUUAGGCACUUGACCAAUAAUUAGGUAAAUAAAUAUGGAAUGAUAUGCUGAAAUAGAAUCUAGUUUUGGUAACAGAAAUGAUCUCUAUAUGAGAGAGAAUCGAGGGAGUACCUCUUUGUCUAAAGGAAUUCCCUCAAUUUUUUGGUGAGAACCUUCUUGUCACAGGGAACAAGGCUACUGGGCAUCACUUGAUGGGCGACAUCCAUUAGAGUAUCAACUAUAGAUGGGUACCGGCCAACAUAUACAAUAGCUGCUUCAUCCAAUGGCGGUCCAGCGCGUUCAGCACCACCCCUCGGGCACAGAAUCCAAGCAGUUGUUGCUGGAUGCCAUCAAGGUAUUGCCUUAAUUUCGUGAACUCGGUUUCAGCUGGCAGCUUGUUGAGGAGGAAAUUUAUGGCGCCCAUAGAAGAGCUCACCAUAGCCAUAGUCCAAGGAGAGCCUUCUUGUCUCUCCUCUGUGUGAUCGCCCAUCCCCAGCCCACGGUCGUGAUCCAUUUGCCCUGCAAAUAAUAAUAAUAAUUAAAUACGUAAAAGAAUUGUGCGUUAGUUAUCUUCUGGAUUUCGGAUCUGAGGUCGACGGGAAGAUAACCCCUACACUACACAAAACCAAUCCCAAUCACCAAACCAUCGCAACAGUGAUCAAGUGUACCCACCAAAAAUCCUGGUCAAGCCAAAACCCCCCACUCCGACCCCCCGAGUCAGUGAUUGAUGCUCGAAAAUAUCGCCAAGAAAUCGCGGGGCAAGGGACGGGGUCUAAGAUUUACCAGAUCCGGAAAAACGGAAUCCACCGGUUCGGGAGGGAAGAUCCAAGCGCGACGCCUCCGGCUCCGGCACCGGCCUCGUCCUCCAGGAGCAGCGGCGGCUGGAGAGAUGGAACCCUAGCAGCCUGGGAGAAUUGGAAAUAAUCAUCUCCGCCGCGCCGGCGCCACCGUGGUGGACCCCGUUACGACGGAAGGUACAACUAGGCAGAAAAUCGGACGGCUCACGUCGACGGUUGAGACGCCACCAAGGGCGUACCCGUAAAUAACUUUUCCCGUAAUGUAAAAACGACGUAACCCGAAGGUCCAAUUUGCAAAAGGACCAAAUCAAUAGAUUAAUGGAUAUGGAGAAAAAAAAGAAGAAAAAUAAAUCGUGUGCCAGGCCAGAGCAAACAAUUCUACUCAGUUCCCUUCCUUCUCCCCCUCCCCGCGGCCGCUAGGGUUUUAUCCCGCUCGCACGCUCGCUCGCUGGCUGCUACCUCCCGGCGAAGGAGGCGCCGGAGGCCUCGCGCUUCGAUCCCCCGUCUUGGGCCCUUCGAUUCCACCUCUUAACCCCGGUAAUCCUAAGAUCCCGCCCUUCGAUUCCACUUCUUAAGCCCGGUAAUCCUAAGACCCCGCCCCUUGCCCGCCGAUUCGGCCGCGAUUUUUUUUUCGCUCGGGUUUCUUCGAAUUCUUCCUCGGGGGGUUUUGCUGCUGGCUCCGUGUCGGGCGCUAACCAAGAUUGGGGUUUGGUGCUUUUGGUGGGCUCGAUUGGUUUUUGGCGCGGUGGGUUCGUGGCUAGUGUUGGAUUUUCGUUCGGGAUUCGUGGGUGAUUGGGGGUGGAUGUGAGCCGAUUCGGAUAUGAAAUUUCGUCCCUUUUGGAUGCGGAUUUGUAAAAAUCAUUUACUUAUUUGCAGGGCAAAAGAGCAUUAUGGUCGCUGCAUAGGUGGGCAGGCAGGCAUUGGGAGAAGAAGAAGGCUCUUCUCUUGCUUGACAUGGUGGCUCAGGAGGCCGCCGCAGAUGCAUUGGGCCCUCGGUUUGCCCCUGAUGACCUGACUCUCCCUGCGCCCUGGAAAGCGCUGAUCGACGGGGCAACGCUGUACUACUGGAACCCGGAGACGAAUGUGACCCAGUACGAGAAGCCGGGUGCUGCGGCGGCAGCACCCCCGGCGGGUCCUCCGCCAACAAUCCCUGCGCAGGUUCCGGAACCCGCACCAGGGGCUUUUUCACAGCCUGGCAUGCAGUUUGGCCAAGCUGGUCAGGGGGUGCACCAGGAGCGACCAGGCCAGGCAACUUAUCCUCAGGCUGGCCAGCUUGGGCAGCAGGAGUAGCAGCAGACUCAACAGCCGGCGCAGCAGCAACCUUUUCAGCACGUGCCUCAACAGCAACCUUCGUUUCAGCAAGCGCUGUAUCAGCAACAGCAGCCACACAUGCCAAAUCAGCCACCUCAAUACCCCAACCCGCAUCUUAAUUUUAUCGGUACACUUACCAAUCUGGAGUAUCUGGAACUAUCGUCGAACAAAUUUGAGUAUCUACCAGAAAGUAUUGGUAAUCUUAAAAGGUUGCAUAUACUGAAUCUCAAGAAUUGCGAUAUCCUCGAGUCCCUUCCAGAGAGUAUAGGUAAUCUCAAAAGGCUGCAUACACUGAAUCUCGAGAAUUGCCAGAUGCUCGAGUCCCUCUCAGAGAGUAUAGGUAAUCUCAAUAGGCUACAUACACUGAAUCUCAAGGAUUGCUGGAAGCUCGAGUCCCUCCCAGAGAGUAUAGGUUGUGCAACUGGGCUGAAGUCUGUACUGAUGGACGGGUGCCCAGACAAAUUAAUGGAUCAGGCCAGUUCUCUAUUGCACUAUUCACUAACAUUACCACUCUUUAAGGUUCGUGCUGAUGACGUCAGUGCUCAUAGCAAUUUGCAUGUGCUCGAGGGUGAAAAUGUCGCCGAUGAGUUACAUAUAGUUUCUCUUGAAAACGUAAGACUUUUGGAGGAAGCACGGAGACUUAACCUGUUGACCAAACAGAAUCUUUUGAACUUGAAACUGGUUUGAAAAUUGAAUGCCUAUCGACAUUUGGAGGACAAGGAUUUGUUGGGACAGCUAGUGCCACCAAUGAGCCUGAAGGACUUGAGUCUACAAGGUUAUAGCAGUCGGAGCUUUCCUGGCUGGCUCAUGGCAAUUUCUCAUCAUCUCCCUAAUCUUACUUGUAUUGAAUUGACGGAUCUGCCUACAUGUAGCAACCUACCACUCCUUGGACAGUUACCGUACUUAGAAAGCCUACGUCUUUGUGAUAUACCCAAGGUUUCAAAAAUUGACGGGGGUAUCUGUGGUGGCAAAAGAGCAUUUCCCCGACUGGAAGUCUUCAUGGUAAGUUUUAUGGAUGGUGUGGAGAAGUGGGAUACAACAUGUCCUGGAGAGGAUGGUGUGGAGGAGUUCAUGUUCCCUAUGUUAGAUGAACUCGAGGUAUAUGAAUGUCCAAAGUUGAGGUUAAAACCAUGCCUCCCAAAUGUCGUAAGUUCAUAAUAUCAAAAAGCGACCAAGUUAUAUCUUCACUGGAGGAGGUACAAACCAGCAGCCAUCGCUGCAACUCUACUCCAACGACCACCAAACUGGAGAUCAGCAAAAGUCAGCACGACAGUUUCAGGCUGUUUCACCACUUCCCUGCCCUCCAGGAGUUGGUAUUCUCCUGGUGUUCAAAUAUGCCGAGCUUGCCGGAGGGCAUACAACAACUCUCCUCCCUUCAGUCACUCGAGUUGCAUUGUUGUGACAGCAUAUCAGCACUGCCAGAAUGGCUGAGUGACAUCUCCUCUCUUAAAAACCUUGUCAUCUGGGACUGUGAUAUCAUCAAGUCUUUGCCUGCAUGUAUACAGCACCUCACCAACCUCGAGGAGUUAGAUAUUAAGGGGAACCAGGAACUACAGCAUUGGUGCGAGUCAGAAGAGAACAAGACCAAGCUCGCACACAUUAACAUAGUAAGUUCAUGACGACCAUAUUUAUUUUUCUAAAUCCGGCAUUCAAGUUUCUAAUAAAACUUAGGUCCUAUAUGGAUAGCAAGUGCUAAACUUUAGCACCCUCAAAUGAAGUGCUAAAUUUAGCACCUUGGAAUGUUUGGAUAGUAUGCUAAAGUUUAGCACUUUUGGUGGCAAAAGAUCCAAGUACCACUCCUUUUCCCUCUUCCCUGGCUGGCGCACUACCACUCCACCGUGAGCGGAGUUCAGGCUCCUGCUCCUCGCAUCCGGCCAGGGCCCGCUCCACCCGCAUUUGGCGCAAGGAGGCAGACCUGGCGCAAGGUCCUGCUCCACCGUCGGGCUCGACUCGGCCACCAUCGCCAUCGACGUCGGGCUACGGCGGAGUGGCUUGUGCCUUGUCUACAGGUCCUCGCCCAUACCGAUGCUCAAGGCCUCGCUCCUCCCAUCGGGUAGUGGCAGCAACGGCAGCCAUGGCCGCCCACAUCAGUGGGGCCAGGCAUAGGUGGACGACGGUGGGUGUUGCGGUGGGGAGGAGAGAGAGGGGGAUAAUGGUGGGAAAAGGUAGAGGGGGACCACUUUUAGCAUAUUAGCACCCUUUAGCACCCCUUGGGUGUGCUAAUGAAAAGGAGUGUGCUAAACUUAGCAAUCACCUUUUAGCAUCCAUGUUUGGAAGCACAAGUGCUAAAAGUAUGCUAAAAGUGCUGUGCUAAAAUUUAGCACUUGCUAUCCAGGACCUUAUGUACUUCCUAUUUGUGAUUUCCAUGAGUAUAUAAGCUAAAGCUAAUCAGUCGCACUUUUUUUCAACUUUGCAGAUCAAUUUAUCAGUAGCUUAACCAAGUACCAUAAAAAUGCCACCAGGGUAAAAGGCAGGUCAACCAGCUGGACUUCAGAAGUGCGAUGCCUAUAGCAGUGCAGCUGCACUUCUUAUGUCUGUAGAAGUGCAGCUUCAGUUUUAACAUACUUGCCUUCACCUAUUAUUCUUCUAAAAUUGCUUUUGACCCGCAGCCUGUCAUGUGGCUGUGAGACAUUUCUGGGAAACAAGCUCAAAUCAUGUUGAAUCGAAUGAUCUUCAUUAGCAGCAUUGUUAGAUCUCGGAUACUGCAGAGCUUAAAGAAGCUGCUGUGUAGUUGACUACAUUUUCCUCCAUUGGAACUCCAACUGCUUCUGUCAGUGAACUCUAUUGGGUUCUUCAAAUUCUGCAAUAGAUUUUGUCUUCUCCUGAACUUUCCUUCCAUCCUCUUCUCUGUAAUUUUUUUUAUGUUGGGUAGACAACUCUCUCUCUCUCCUUGAAUGCUUAAUGCACCAAAUAAACCUAGAUACUGAAGAUCACAUUUUACACGAAAAAAAGAGCAAGCAUUCCUCCAAGUGAAUAAUGCCCAUGAUAACAGCCAUCACCACGGGGAACAAGAUCUAUGCUGGCCACACGGCAAAGGCACGAAAACACUCGGUGAACCCUUUGCCAAGUGUAACACUUGGAAAAAAAAGUACCAGCAAAGCGGCUUUGCUGACUGUUUUGUGUCGAACACUUGGCAAAGCUUUUUAAAAAAUAAAUUAACAAAGCCAUAGCGCAGACGCCACCACGCCGCACGCCGCCACGCCACCACGCGGCCUGCUACCGGCCGCCACCACCGCCCAUGCCACCGCCGCCAUCACCACCUCCUCCACCAACGCCACCUCCGCCAACGCCACCUCCUCCGCCAGCACGCCACGUCCACGGAUCCGGUGAGGGAGGGAGGGGGUCGGGAGCAGAGGGGAGAUGGGGUGAGAGGGAGGGAGAUGGGCCUAGGAGCAAAGGAGAGGGAGGCAGCGCCGGCGGGAGGAGAUGGGUACGGCGUGAGGGGGGGGAGGGGCGGCGUGCGUGGGGUAUAGAAUAGGGGUUCGCCGAGUGUAGAAAAAAAACACUCGGCAAACCCCUUGUUUGCCUUUUGUUUACACUCGGCGAACCCCAUGUUUACCGAGUGUUUUUUUUUUGCCGAGUGUUUUUAUCGCAACACUCAGCAAAAAGUUUAUUUGCCGAGUGCCUGAAGGAAUGCACUCGGCAAACAUAAAAACACUUGGCAAAUUUGAGGUUUCUGGUAGUGCAUGUUCAUUGUUUUGGGAGAUAAGGUAAUAUUUACGUUCCAUUAAUCGAAUCCACAUUUAUCAUUAAUGCACACUUGCCUACCCCAAAUAUCCAAUUAGACUUUGUGCAAGUUUCUAAAAAAAAGUGUAGAAUGACUAUUACAUACCUGGACUUCAGCAGUUGUCACAUGCGCUUGCGGUCAGAUGUUGGAAAAAGGUUCAACUUCCCAACUUUUUUCAUUUUUUUAUGACAAUAACUGAAAAAAACUCAGCUGGAGAGUGUAGAUGACUACCCUCCUGACCAUGUCCAGAAAAUUAGAUGACGUAUCCUUAGGGCCUGUUUGGAGUCGCUUAUUUCCCGCUUAUUGGUGAAAAUAAGCGAUAAGCCCACCCAAACGCCUCGCUUAUUUCUUGCUUAUCACGUAAGCCGCUUAGUGGAAAAUCUGAAAUUGAACUAGGACUGGGCUUAUCUCCUACGCAGGCCGGGAGGCGCUUGUGGGGCAAGCGACCGAUUUUUCCCCCGCUACCCUCACCCACCGACGCCACCACCCGUCCGCCCCCGCGCCUCCCGCGACCACCGCCGGCUCCGUCCGCCGCCAGGUCCGGUCCGCCGGCAGCUCUCGUCGCCGGCUCCCGCCGCCUACAGAUCCCGCCGCCGCCGCUCGGUCCCGUCCGCCGCCACCGCUCGGUCCUAUCCGCCGCCGCCGCUCCCGCACCUCCCGUGACCGCUGCCGGCUCCCGUCCGCCGCCCGGUCCCAUCACCAGCUCCUGUAGCAUGCAGAUCCCGCCGCCGCCGCUCGGUUUCCGUCCGCCGCCGCCGCUCCCGCGCCUCCCGCAACCGCCGCCGGCUCCCGUCCGCCGCCCGAUCCCGUCCACCACCUGAUCCUAUCGCCGGCACCCACCACCGCCGCUCGGUUCCCGUCCGCCGCCGCCGCCCCCGCCCCUGCGCCUCCCACGACCGUCGCCGAGCUUGGCCGCCGCCGGGCUUGCCCCCUGGCGGCUUGGCCCCCGCCGCCCGGGCUCCGCAGCCAGGGCCGUCAAGGAGGAGGAGGAGGCGCGCGCUCCUCCCCGCCCCCGCGCCGGCCGGCUACGGCGAGGAGGAGGAGGAGGACCUCGAGGAGCGCGCGUACGAGGCGGCGGAGAAGGUCAUUGUGUGCAUCUCGGACGGGCCGGACCUGGAGAGCAGCGGCUGCGACGACGCGGCCCUCUGCUCCUCGUCAGGGGCGGCGCUGCCCUUCUCGUGGCGGAAGCUCUGGCUCUUCACGGGCCCCGGGUUCCUGAUGAGCAUCACGUUCCUGGACCCAGGCAACCUCGAAAGUACUCUAAAUUUCUAUUUCUUGUGAAACCAAAAGAGAGGAGCAAUAAUGCACAAGCAAUGCACUUCCAGGUCAACAUUCAUCUGCAUUAUAGUCUAGCAGUCAAUUGAGCCCUAUAGUCAAAAACUAUAGGAUAUAUUGUAAAGUAUUUGCUAUCAUAUGAAUUUUGUAUGAAUUUUGUAUUAUUGUAAUGUAAUUUCUAUUUAACAAACUCCAAAGGUAUUAGAAAUGUCUUCUCCUCAGAUUCACAAUAAAAAUGAGCUAUUAUCAGCCUUAGGGGCAUUCAGGUCAAUUUACCAACCAGGAUAGACAAUCGACACAAAAUAAUCAGGAUUGCCAAACACCCUGCUUAUUCAGACAGCAGAUUCUCCAGGCAGCAGGCUUAUCAGAUAAGCUUGCUUGCCAGAUAAGCGAGUUCCAAAAAAGCGUAUACAAACAGGCCCUUAAUUAGCAGAACUACCACACAAGCUUCUUGAAGUAUUCGCUCCUCUCUGUGCAUGAGCAUGACAAAAUCAACUGAUUAAUACGCCUUCAAGCUUCACAGAAUCCACUAGCAUGCACUCAUAUAUCCAUAGUUACUACAUUUGUUUGAUAGCAAAAGAGGGGAAAAGGAUGCAGCAGCCCAAGGACAGGCCAUGGCCCGGCUUCCGUUUCAGAUUCCAGCCAAAGGAAUGCCCCAGCUUUUACCACAGGUUCGUUCUGCUUCUUCACCAUAAUUCAGCUAACAAAAUGGCACGCGAAUUUCGUUCAGGUGCCAUACAUGAUAAGGCCGCAAAGGUGACACAGAAUCCGUCCUAGAAGCGAGCACGCUGCAACGUCGUUACAAGACUGAAUUCAAGUGGGAAGAAAAAAAAACAGAGCAAACAGAUGCACCAACUCCAAAUCCUUUCAGAUAGGCUCACAAGUCCUAGAAUGCCGCUACCGCUACAUGAAAGUUGAAAUACAACGAUUCCAAGUAGCACAGCCGCCAAGCAGAGUUGUGAGUCAAGUAAAACACAACAAGAGAUGCUAAUUUUCAGACAAUGCGACAAGCGUUGCAACUGCUAUUCAGGCGAUCAGGCAUAGUACACGUGCUCCCCGUACGCCUGUCCCCACGUCUCAGCCGGAUGCCCUAAUGCAGGCACCAUGGCGCUCCCCCCAUCGCUCCAGCCGACAACAGAGGAUGCAACUGCAGGCAUCAGCUGAUACUCAGGGUGCACGGGGCCUACCAUUGGUGGUCCAGUCAUAUAGCCGCCGCCGCCGCCGUGAGCGUGCACCCCAGCGCCACCGUCCAUCCCCAGCAAGUACACGCCGGUGCCACCGGCCCUCCGUGGUGGUGCAUGCCGUCGUGCUGGACGUGGGGGAACCAUGCACGGUUCAGCUGCUCAAGCUCCGGACCUGCAUGGUACAAGACCUCAGGGUUCAAAGCAGCAGUGGCAGCUCCGUACGCCAUGCCUCCCGUGGCUUGCACGCCGAGCAUCACAUCCAUUUGGCCGACCCUAAGCGCAUUCUGAGUGGGUGCAGCACCUCUUCUGGCAGUACUGAGACCCGGGGCAUCGCCCAUGUCGGAUAUCAGUACGGGUCCAGCGGUGUCACACUUCCAUCCUGGAGCUGGACCAACUUUGACGCCUGCCAAUGAGGAAAGGCUAGUAAAGCUAAGCAGGGAGAAAUAAUUAAUAUAAGGAAAGUGCAUGCCUAAGAUGUGCGCACAUGUGUGAGGAGUAGUUGCCACAUAUGGACUAUGCAGGGCCUUGAAAGGAACGUAUUGGAAGACAACACACAUGCCUGAUGCCAUCAUGAGGAAAGGACCAAUCAUAAUAAAGAUAGAAGAUGGCAAGUCCGAUUCUGAAGCUGAUCGAGCCGAUGGAAUUACAAUAUCUAUUGGAUAAGGAGGCUAGUGUCGGCAAGGGAUUUUCAUGGAAAGUGACUCUGCAAGAAGGGAAAUUGGAGUCCGUGUAUCUCAAAUAAUUCCUUUUGUUUAGAUAUUAGUGUUAGGCAAUUUUGUGUACGACUCAACUAGAGUCAUUACUUCAAGGUAUAAAUAUGUACCUAGGGUUAUUGUAAAAAAUAUCACACAAUCAAUACAACACAUCUACCUUUUCGGCGCCACGCCAUUGCAUUAGGAGUAGGAGUAAGGUAGAUUUUUCCGGUGAGUUCUUUCCGGCAAGCGGGGAUACAUCGACUUCAAUCUCCGGCGAGCUGCAAGUUCCCAUCACCAGGUAUCCUAGACUUCAACGUCCAAGCGCAUCGCUGUCGUUGGAUCUAGUUCUUACCUACAAGUUAUCGAGUAUCUCGGAUCUUCGACUUACGGUGCAUCGCUCCUAUCCCAAUCCAUGGUAUUCACUAGUUAUCGUUUUUAUUAUAUCCUGUAAGGCUGCAUCGUUGGAUCUCUUGCUAGAUGUGGUAGAAUCACAGUUAUCUUGCCUUGAUUAAGCUUACAUCAGUUGAUAUUUAUCUGUUCUAUCAUCUUGCUGUCUAGUUUGCUUUAAUUAGCUCUAGAUCGUAUCAUCAUAGAUGAUAGAUCACUUAAUAGCUUGUUGCAUCUUAAUCUUGGUUACCCCUCGAGUGCUAUUGGAAUUGAGUUCCAUUGUGAUUGGAUUCAUCAGCUAGCAAGGUUUAGAUUGGCGUUCUGCUAAGUGUUUUUAGGCUGCAACUAUCGGACGCAUCGCUGUAGUUUCACCUAGAAAUACUGGUAGUAACGUUAAUUGAAUCUCCUCGGCUUGUAGCUCUAGUCACGGUGGAGCAAGAGCUCAAUGGCGCUCUGUCUCCUAUCGGCUUUCUAGCCGAUGGUUAUCGCCAAUUAUGUUUAAUCGACUGGAUAGUCGAUGAACCGCUCACGCUCAUCCAGAUACUGGAAUCUACUUCAUAGCUGAUAUAUUUAUUCAUCAUGCUUUAUUUUGUUAUGUCAUUAUCACCGUUGGUGCCAGGAUUAUAUCGGCCUGAUCGGCUGGUUGCCUUGAACUUCAAAAGGAUCAUCUUCUCCUUGUCAGUUGAAUGGUCAAACUGACUGGCACUCCCGCGUUCACCACGCACGCCGAUCUACAGGACCUGCACUGGAGUGAAGCAAAUCUUCCAGACCUUUCGUGUGUUAGUACGCGAAGGUCACCGUCCGAUUUUUACGUCAACAGUUACCAAUUGUUGUCCUGAGAUCUCUUGACUACAUACUGCCAUCUAACCAUAGGGUCUUACUAGUAGGUAUCCCUUUCAUCUUUUUUAACAAAAAAGCCAUGUGAUCCCCUCAAAGACUAGCAUAUUUCAGAUCUACCACCUAACGACCAGCAUCUAAACUAAAGGUCUUACAUAUUUGUUGUCCAUGUGAACUUAAAAAAAGUUUCGAUCCACUUGAAGAUCGGCAUCUUGAUGUCUAUGCUUAUCUAUUGGCAUCUAACCAGCAAUGGGUGUUACUUAUUUGUUUCAAUAUGAUAACAAGUAUGCAAACAAAUAUCCGUGAGAUAUAAUGUGCUUCAAUGCGGUGGAAAGUAUAAUGAUAACAUAAUUAUGUUAUUUGAGAAACUAUACAUAUGAUUUUUUAUGUUUGUUCCAAACAGUGCAAAGUAUAUCACUUAUAUCGAUCCAGUGAGCUAGUGAUAAAAUUAUACUAGUGCACCUUUCUGUCCCUCGAAGAUGGAUUUUUUUCCGGAUAGAUUAGCAUAGAGACUAAACAACUUAGUUGUCCCUAAUUAAUAUUAUGGUCAGUUUGCAUGAGAGGGGUUAGGAAACUGCAUGCUACGUUCCUGCUCCAAAUAUUAGACACGCACAAUUUAUUACAAAUUCCAGCGUAAUUAGUGGACAAUUAAUUGAAGCAACAAAAAGGACAAAGGAUGCAAUGCUGGAUGUGUGUCAAGACAAACCAGUACAAGAAUAAUGAAUUGUGCCCUGAUCGAUCAUUACCGUCUGUAAUUAUCAAAGCCUAUAUAAUAGGACCGAUCCAAACAUGGACCUACAUUAUUUUUGUAAUAGAUAUCUAUCAAUAAUUAUAACAAACCAUGAAACCAACCAACUUAAUUAUGAUCCCAUAAAAAAUCAUCAUCCUGAGAUCUAUUCUUAACUACUGGCAUCUAACCAAAUAAUCUUACUAUUAACUAUCCCCGUUCAUUUUUUAAUAAAAACCCACGUGAUCCAUUUAAAGAUCAGCAUCUUGUAGAUGUACACCUAAUUAAAGGCAUCUAAUCAAACGUCUUACAUAUUUGUUAUCCAUGUCAUCAGCCUACAAAAAGUUACCAUCCACUUCAAGAUCGGCAUCUUUAGAUUUAAACUUAAUUACUGGCGGCCGGUGGACUCAACUCCAAUGGAUAAAAAUUUCAGAUCUGGUCCUCCCUCCUUCACCGACGGUUUGUUAAAUGAGGAACUAUUGUUAUAUAAGUUGAUACAUAGUCUCUACGAAAAUUAAUACAAAAUCACAAUAACUACAUGCAAUGUUUGUAUAUAAGUUGCUACACAAACUCAACACGAGUUGAUACAAGAUCCACAUAACAUGACAACAUUGUCGUAUAUAAGUUGCCGGGACGAGUAAAUUUACUUCAAAACUUAUAGAACAUGAGUCUUGUUUUGUAGAUCACAUUGUGAGGAACAAAAUGGUACAAACAGAUUUGAAAUGGACACUUGUCGAUAAAAUUAUCGUCUUUCAAAUAAAAUAGAAUAAUGAAAUAAAACAUGAUGACAUUGUUUAUCCACUGCUUCUUGCCCUCCACUUAGUGCCAGCCGCAAAUGUCCUGACAGUAAAAGGUUUGUGGUUGUUGCGUUCCACUGUUUGCAUGUAUGGAUAUGAUUUUUGCUUGAGGAUGCGUUAACACGCUCCUUUGGAGAUAGAAAUAAGAGAUACAGAGUGUGGUGAGGAGAAGGUGGCAACGUGAACACAGAGACAAUGGAGUGGUACAUUUCUUAACGGUGGGAACAUUGGAUGCUAUUGAAGUGUACUAGAUAGAUUAAAGAAAUAUAAUAAAAUGGUACGUACGAAACCAAGCAUAGAGAAUGUAAAAUAAAAUCAAAGCUAGAUAACGUGACUAAAACUAAAAUGAGAUAUAUGUGUAGAAUAUAAUGCAUGCUAGUUAAAAAUAAUCAACAGUUGUGAUUGUAGAAAUUUCUAUUGUGAGUUUGACUAUAUUUAAAAUUUCAACUCGAUUAGGAUGCCAACUUAUAAAAUUUAAAAGAUGUGCCCAAGUAGUUUUUUAUGUUAAUAUUUCCACUAACACUCGUUCCUAAAAUAAAUUAGCUUUGAGUCGUCUCGAGUUAAACUAUUUUAAAUUUAACCAGCAUUACAUACCGAAGAGUACAAAUGCCUAUGACACCAAAUAAAUGUAAUAUAUUAAAAUAUAUUUUCCUAACGGAUCUAAGCUAAUUUGGUGCCCACAAGCCAUGGGCUGAAAGCUAACUUGGGCUGCAUAUAUAUUUAGGCCGACACAACUGGGCAGAAAGAUUUGGCCCAUGACAUUAUUGGGACAUAUUAGCUCAUGACAUUUUUAGGUCAAACCAUCUAACGAUAUGAAUUUGGUGUCUAUGGCCCAAUAAUGUGCUUCCGCACUGCAUUUGCGGUUCUCUGUUUUCUGUGUCUACUCUGUACUAUGUAUGAAGCUGCACCUUCCUCAUGUCCACUUGUAAAUUUGUAUCCCAAAGGAAACAGAGAAUAGCAGCGACUUUACGCCCAGUUGCUCGUUUAAAAAAUCUGGUGUUGUUUGCCUGCCUUUCUCCAAGACCGGCUCCGCCAAGCUAACCGAAGGGCUUGAUGAUUUGUUACCACCAAGUCUUCACGGAGAAGCACGAAGUACAAGGUUUUUAAAAAUAAAUAAAAGAACUGGUCAUAUCAUAUGUACGAGAUACAAAAUUAAAUGUGUGGCCAAACAACAACUAAAAUGAACUUGGAUCGAGGUGGGUUGUUCGAUCCGCCUCGACCAAUGGGCGCAAAAUUAACCAAAUGGGUGAAUAAUAAGCAUUCGUUCAAAUCAAACAACUAGUGGACAUGGCUUGUAUUUUUAAAAACGGAGACAUUGUAUUUACAUAAUCCAACGGAUGAGCACCACACACUCGCUAUGUGGUAUAGGACGACAAUGAUUAUACAGCACUCUAUAAUGGACAUGUCAGGCUAAAGCUGUUGGAGAGUGGAGAGUGUCAAAAUUAUGUUGGGGCUGUCUCCCUCGACCCUGUUUGAGUCUUAACUCGAUCGCCUGGCCAUCGUGCAAAAGUCUCUAGCUUCGGGCAGCCAUCGCGUUACGCUAGCUUCGGGUAGGAUAAAAACGGGUGUUCGCUCCGGAGCUAAGGGACUAACUAACCGGUCAAGUGACCUCGCUACGCAGAUUACCUGUCUUUUGUGCGCAGAAGGAAAAGUGAAGCACCUCGUCAUAACGGAUGGUCGACAGAGCAAGGGACUGAUGAAGGCACGAAAGGACUCCGCUCGUGAAGCCUCAGCAAAGCCGACUGCGCUGGAGCUUCGGACAACCAAAGCUACCGAGGUGACGCCCGGCUUCGGUGACGAGGUCAAGGCGCCUGAAGACGUGAUCGACAUGAGAGCGUGAUUUCCGGGGCCUUGUUGAGAAUACUCACAUAGUUGUAAUUUUGGGGUGCUAUAGAAAAAUACUUUAUAAUUUAGGCCUCAAAUUAUGCUUUCGCAUAAAGUUUUCUCAUGAGUCCUCUAACUUCAUUUUAGAUAUAAAUUGGUAGUUACGUAUUCAUCCCAUAGACACAUAUACAUUUAGUUCCGUUGUCUUGUCAGUUUGUUUCAUAAUGCAAGUCACUCCAAAAAAACAAAUACUACUUCACUAUAUUCCCUGAAAAGAAAAAUACUACUACUUCACUAUAACAUCAGGUCCACCUGCUCAAAAGCACCUCCAGUUUUUCCUUGUUUGCGCCAACAACCGUGCCCUUAAGUUCUUUCCCCUUUAUGAACAGUUCUUUCCCCUUUAUGAACAGGAAGGUUGGCAGGGCCUUAACACUGAUUUUCACUAAAUCCAACUUUAUUAUAGUCUCAUGAUACUUUAAGUACCACUGCCUGGAGGCUUGUUUUAAUCCAGAAAUAGAUUUCUUCAGACAACAUCCCAUAUGCUCUUUUCCCUUCAUGACAAAACCUUUGGGUUGUGCCAUGUAGACAUUUUCUUUUAGGUCUCCAUUGAAAAAAGUCAUCUUUACAUCCAUUUGAUGUAACUCUAAAUUAUAGUGUGCCACUAAAGACAUUAUGAUUCUAAAAGAAUCCUUAAAUGAGACCGGAGAAAAUGUCUCAUUAUAGUCUAUUCCUUCUCUUUGCAUGAAGCCUUUCGCAACAUGUCGAGCUUUAUAUCUUUCGACAUUCCUUUUGGAGUCACAUUUUGUUUUGUAUACCCAUUUGCAGCCUACUAUCUUGGCUCCUUUAGGAAUUUCUUCUAAAUCCCAAACUUUGUUGCUACUCAUGGAUCUCAUUUCAUCUUUCAUGGCUUCAAACCACUUUGAUGAGUGAGUGCUUCUCAUAGCUUCUUCAAAUGAGAUGGGAUCUCCCUCCAUUUGAACUUCUUCACUAACAUAGACUUCGUAGUCAUCAAGAAUAGCUGGCUUUCUAACUCUUUGAGACCUUCUAGGGGCCUCAACAGCUGGCACAUUUUCUAUGGGGGACUUUGCAGCUCUUCCUCAUGUGUGGCAACGGGUUCUAUAGGAUCCUGAAGGACAGGUCCCUCAUCUUCAUGUGUCGUUGCCACAGGAGAACCAACAACACGUGUUGUCAUCACAGUGUCCUGCAUUGUCGGUGCAGCAGCAAUAGGUACCACAAGAGAACUAACAAUAGGUGUUGUCGACAUAGUGUCAUGCACUAUCGGUGUAGCGGGUAUCGAGAAAAAUGGUUCCUGAACCAUCGGAGUGGGUACAUAUACCUGCUUCUCCUCAAGGUUGAUUUCUCGAGGUACCGUGCUCCCCCUGAUCAUCUUAUCAUCUAGGAACACAGCGUGUCUCGUUUCUACAAACUUAGUAUGUCUGUCAAGAUAGUAGAAACGAUAACCUUUUGACUUCUCAGGGUAGCCAAUGAAAUGGCAACUGACUGUCUUAGGAUCUAAUUUUCCAAUGUUUGGAUUAAAAACUUUAGCCUCAGCUGGACAACCCCACACACGCAAAUAAUUAAGUAAGGGUUCUCGUCCAGUCCAUAACUCAUAUGGUGUUUUAGAUACCGACUUACUAGGGACCCGAUUAAGGAUGUGAAUGGUGGUUUUUAAGGCCUCCAUCCACAAACUAACCAGUAAAGUUGAGUAAAUUAUCAUGCUUCUCACCAUAUCCAUUAAGGUACGGUUACGUCUUUCAACUACUCCAUUCUGCUAAGGCUCGCCCGGGGUAGAGUAUUAGGCAACUAUGUCAUUUUCCUGUAGAAACCUCGCAAAAGGUCCAGGAACUUGGCCAUACGGGGUAUGCCAACCGUAGUACUCCCCUCCACGGUCGGAUAUGACUAUUUUAAUCUUUAAACUAUGCUGAUUUUCUACUUCAGCCUUAAAUAUCUUGAAUUUAUCCAACACUUCUGAAUGCUCUUUAAUUGGAUAAAUGUAACCAUAGCGCGAAUAAUCAUCCGUGAAUGUUAUAAAUGAAUUAUAACCAUCCACAGAUGUCACAAGAAACAGACCAAAAAUGUCCGUGUGAAUUAUUUGUAAAAUUCCUGUGCUUCUUUUGGCGUCUUUCUUGAUUUUCUUAACGAACUUUCCUUUAAUGCAGUUGAGACAUUGCUCUAAAUCUGAAAAUUCUAAGGGCGGAAGAAUUGAUUCUUUAACUAAGUGUUCUAUUCUCCCCCUUAAAAUAUGGCUUUAAUGACAGUGCCAUAAUUUCAAAGAUACGUCAUCAAUUCUUUUCCGCUUAUUCUUUACAUUCAUAGUCGAGGAGGCAUUCCCAUUCUCAGCGCUUAUUUCAUUCAUAUUCUCACAAAGUGAUAAUAAAUAAAGCUCACCUUGUCUAAAGGCAAGACCAACAAUCUUAUUAUUAAACUUAAUUUCACAUUGUCCAUUUCCGAAAUGACAAGCAAAACCAUCAUCAUCUAAGCGCGACACACUUAUUAAGUUUCUACGCAAAGAGGGUACAAAAAGGACAUCUCUCAAAUGAAGUACAAAGCCAUUUGCUGAUUCUAAUGGGAGUUCUCCAAUGGCUUCGACUUCAGCUUGGACGCCAUUUGCAACUUUAAUGUUUCUUUCUCCUCUUUGCAGGAUCCUCCUCGUAUGGAAUCCCUAUAAUGAAUUUGCAACAUGAAUAGUUGCACCUGAGUCAAUCCACCAAGUAGAUUUUUCAUAACUUAAAUACAAGGAUUCAUCUACAAAUGUAAUAAUAUCCUCACCUCUUUUCAUCAGGUGCUUCAAGAAGUCUGGACAAUCCUUCUGGUAGUGUCCCUUCUUCUUGCACCACUUGCAAGUGUCUUUGUGCACCACAUGUUCCUGAUUUGGUCUUUGAUGGUGAUCAUUCAUUGGAGCAUUUCCAUGUGCCUUAGAGGAAGAGGCAUGCCACUGAGGUUUCCCUUGCGGCUUAAUUGUUCUGAAAAUUUCUCUUCUUGUUGUGGCUUAGGUAGUUUAUAGUGUCACCAGAUGAGCCCUUAAUCCUUUCUUCCUCUUGUACGCACAUAGCUAUCAUCUUCUCAAUGCCUCAUUUUUCUGGCUAUGUGUCAUAAGUCAUAGCAAAGGUCUCAAAUUCUUUAGGCAAUGAGGUAAAGAUCAAAUGAACUAUAAAUACUUCUGGAAGCUCCAUCUCCAUAGACUUUAGCUUGGAAGCCAUAUUGCUCAUUCGCAAUAUGUGAUCCCUUAUGCUGCCGCCAGUAUACUUCAUAGUGACAAGCUUCCUUAUGAGUGAGCUUGCAUAUACUUUGGAAGAGCCGUAAACUGACUCUCCACCUUUGUCAGGUACUCCCUGGCGGUCUGACAUUCUAGGAUCGCUCCCGUAAUUGCUUCUGUGAUGGAGCUUUUGAUCACCAUCAGGCACUUUCUGUUUGAUCCGUCCCACUUCGCACGAUCAAGAUCGUACUUCAUUCUUAUUGGUGCAUGAUCAUGCACCCUUUCAUUGAAAUCAUCCUCACUUUCAUUUUCGGCCCUCACGGGUCCUCAGGUUCUAUGGGACAGGGAGCAAUCAGUGCCAAAUCAAUAUUGGACAGUGCAAGCGCUAUCUCGACCUCCUCUUACCACGAGCCGUAGUUUCCUCCUGUGAGGCGCUCGAUGGACGAGAUAAAGCUCAUAGGAUUGUCUGAAAAAAAAAUUCAGAAAAAAGGAGUUAAUUUAACGUUGGUCAAAUUAAAACACAAGACUUCUCAAUAUCAAUUCUACAUCACCGUUGGGCACAAAUAGAAUUAUUAAUGAUAAAACAUCACUUAUAGUACAACAAUAUUAUCAACAACGUUGGUCAGCAGAUAAAAUUAUCAUACUCAGAAAAAAUACUUAUUUUCUAAUUACAUUUUCUGGUUGGUUCCAAUUUAAUUAGAGAAAUAGACUAGAAACUUGAACUUAAUGCAUAAAAUUGGCAAAAUAAAGCCAAAAAUUCAACUUAACUCAAUUUUAAUACAGUGGAAGCUUAAACAUAAUUUUGGGAUUUUACCCACAGGAAAAGUCCUUAAACUUAUUUUAUUUGAGCCACUAAAACAUUUCCAGAAAAUAUAGAAUAUUCGCUGGAAAAAGAAAAGCGAAACCAGGCUCAUUCUUUCUUUUCCUUCCGCCCGCACGAGGAAAAUGGCCCGCGACGGCCUACCGAGCUCAGCUUCGCUCUUUAGCAAAAACUGCAGCCUAGUCUUCCCUUCUCCCUCUUGGGCUGAAAUUUGCCCAGCCGCAAAAUUGGCCCGCCAGCGGCCUGCUGUUGCCAGCUCUGCCGUCCAGCAAAACGCACCGGCCAACCAGAUGGACCAGCCCGGCCCAAAAGGAAAUGCGGCCCGGCCUGUGCAUGCGCUCGACUCACUCGCUGGCUUGGCUCGCUCGGCUCGCGGCUUGGCAGGCUACAACCUGGGCCCGGGGCGUCGAAGCGGCCUACUUCCCGUUCCCGCCUGGGCCGAAUCUGGCCUGGACGAUUUCAGCCAUCCAUUCAAGAUCGAUGGCUACGCGUGAUUUUCGCUGGAUCCAAACUGAGCGAGUGGCCGGCCCUGCAAACCCUAGCAGCAUUUCUGCUCCUCCCUCGCGCAGCCGUGAGUAACGGCCGAGAGCGCCGGCCUGCGAGCGCCGGUAAGCAGAGAGACCCUCGGCUUCCCCCAGUCCCCCUUGCCGGCGCACGCAUCCACCCGAGGGUGAGCGCGGCGCCGUCGAGCGGUGCUGCGGGUUCGCCGCGUCUUCCCGGUAGUGAGCGGACGGCAACAAGGUGAGCAAGAGGUAAGCUGCCGCCUCCCUGAGCUCUUAGUCUGCCGGCGGCCGUCGGUAAAUCCGGCGGGCGCCAUGUCUCCUUUUUUUUUUUGAUCUUUCUCUCUUCCCGGAGACAGAUCCGGUGGAUACUUUCCUUUCGAUUCUUCAUCUCCUUCUAAUUGCUAACCCCGACUAGAUCUACAACCUAGAAAGGCGACUGAUACCAUUGAUAGGAUUAACAGGAUCAUCUAGGUGCUAGUCUAGCGGGUAAAACAUGACUUAGGUAAACCAACAUGAUUCGUGGAUCUACACCGAGGCAUACUAGAGAUGGAGAGGGAGAGAGACCGACCGUCGGGCUUUGUUGACGAGAUGGCCAUGGUGUGUAGACGAUGUUGACGAAGAGGGCGGCUGCGGCCGCGCGGAGUUGGCGAAGCUUCCCGCCGCUAACAGCCCCUCCACUAGAUUGGCUAGGGUUUCUGUGUCGGUGGGGUUGUGGACACGGUGAACGUUGGCUCGUGUGCCCCGACUCCCACGUCCUUUUAUGUGGUGCUGCGGGAUGGGGGCCACCAACCAUAUAUGGAUUCUCCUAUAAAUCCGGUGGAGAUCAAUCCUAACGUCACCAAGUAUCCCCUGUAAAUCCUAUAUGGUUCGACAGAUUUGGUCAGUCUCAUAGCUGAUAGUCUUUCAGCUUCCGCAUAGCUGAUAUACACAUGUUCGUGCACAAGUGCACCUUGUUCAGUACGACAUUUCUCAGCUAUACUCCUGACCCGGGUCGUCAUGAUUAAUUUACAGCCCAGAUUAUUCUUAGGAAGAGCCUUACGGAUGACUUCCCAUUCUUCCCAGUGCCAAAUGUCAUCAAUUAUGACCAGGUACCUACGGAAAAAAAAACAAGACCAAAGAAACUUUUAACAUUUGGGCCAUCUUAUCCCAUGUUACUAUUACUAAUUGAUUGGAAUGUUCAUACUCACAUGGCCAACUAAGAAAAACAGAUCAUUGCGUUUUUUAUCUUUCUAUAAGCGGGCCUUAGACAGAAGACCAGGGCCAGGCCCGCUUAAUGUAUGUAGUUGUGUACAGAUGAGCUGAAGAUGGAAAACACUGAACAAAGUGACGGCAGCACAAGGACUUGCGUUUUUUUAUCUCCUGAGUGCCCGGUUGAAGCCGAAACGAAUUCGAUCUGGUCUCAGGCUCCAGCGCACGAGAUACAAAUCCGAGAAGAGAACUAAUCCGAGACGGGAGCUCAGCUCUGUCCCAUUCCAUGUCAAGGCAGAGUGCUCUGCAUCAGCAUCUGCACCACCAUUUUCCCUUCCACUCCUGAUGAGUGCAGUGCAGGAUGCUAGGUGUAAUCCGGUCAUGCUUUCCUCGAUCGAGGAGCGCCAUCUUGCAAAUCGAAUAAUCGAUAGACCCAUUCCGAUUAACCAAAGUGCUUAAUUAUCUGAUUGCGACAUGUGGAAUAAUUGCGCUGUCUUUUUUUAUUAUAGAUUAGUCUUUUACCAAGGUGCAACGUACUAGCUUGCUUAUAUGGAUCAGUACACAGUAUUUUGAUGACGAGGUAAAUAUGCAAAACAGAAAAGCACAGACGCUGGUGCAGAGAGAGUUUCAUUCUUGGAUUGGCGGGCGGCCCUGUUCACUCAGGUGGAGAUGGCCAGGCCCAGGCCCACUUCAUAGGAGAACUUAUUUUGACCCAUUUCAACUCCUCGUCUCAUCGGCAGCAUCCAUCCAAUCCCUCCAACAGAGAGAGGAUUCGCACAUUGCGCUCAUGCCUAGAGCAGGACCAAACAUAAGGGAUUUUUUUAAUUUUAACCUUUUUAAUAAUAUUUAAAACAACCCUCCAGAUAAAUGUUUCCAUCCCGUGGCGCUUUUGAUCGCGUCGUUCCACGUGUCAGAGCAAGAUAACAUUAUCACGCAACAUGCAUUGGGAGGCCUGAUUCCAAUGUCCUCAUACAGCUCAGGAUGGGUCAAUGGAAACUCAACGGCCUCUUUAAUUUCUUGAAUCUGAGCGUCUAACCCACCAAUGUCAGCAUAAGACUCCAGAGGAGCUUUCUCCACUUACAUCACAGAUACCAUAGGAUCAACUUCAGCUUGCAGUAUCCCAACCACAGACAGAACCUGAAGAAGCAAAGGCACGUUUGAUUGAGUUAGCAGUUAGUUGUAAAGGAUCCACGCACUAAUGCAUGUGCACACAAAAACGAUUAUUAUCCAUGGAAAGCACCCGGUGAGCACAUCAAGUGUGUAAGGAAAAAGUCUAGGACAACUGCUAGAGGCUACAAAGGACUCUAAAAUGAAUAUUCCCUCCGUUCCAAAUUGUAGGUCGUUUUAGCAUUUCUAGGUACAUAACUUUUACUAUGCAUAUAAUUUGGUCUAGAUGCAUAAUAAUAUCUAUGAAUCUAGAAAAGUUAAAACGACCUGCAAUUUGGAACGGAGGGAGUACAUGUAUAAUGGUUGAAAAUGAAAGGCAGUGCAGCCUUGGCAUAGCAUACAGAAUCAAUCACCACUCCGGGAACUGAAACAUAUGAAUCUGAACAGUCAGCAGAACCUAGUUAAGUGCUAACCCUUAGUUGGUCAUCCUUGAUUCGAGAAACAACCUCUAAACCCUAACCACCUUAAUUUAUCAGGUACAGUAUUAGACAAAUCGCUAAAACAACAAGGUUUUGAUACAUUAGCCCAACUCCUCAGUAGAAACCACCAAUCCGCAGGGCCUAGUUUUCUGAUGAAUCUCAGUUCCAUGGUCCGCUUAUAGUCUAUGUUGGAACCUUGAUUAACUGGACAAUAGACGAGAGCCUAAAGUUCCCCGUCCAUUCUACAAAAAUUCCCCCAACCUAACAACAAUUAACCCCAGAGGUACAGAUACUUAAAUCGCCUUCAAAAAUCCAACCUCUCCCAAACUAGCAGGGAUCAGUUUAGUAGAUCGGGGAUACUUAGAUCGAGGAGGUUAAGGGGACCUGUAGUAGUAGAUCCGCUCGUGCCUAUAGUAGAUUAAGUAGCGGGUUGGGGAAAAAAAGAGAAAGCGAACCUUGUUGUGCAUGGGGAUGCUCUGGCUCGAGCUGCUCCUUGUCGACGAACGGAGCUUGUCCUCGCGCACCCUUGCUCACUGCUGCAGCUCCUGCUCCGCGCCUGCGCCGGCUGCCUGGGCCUGCACGGCUCCGCUCGGGCAGCGUCCAAGGAAGGGCAGCGGCAGAGAACUUUUUCUCCUUUAACCUCCUGCCUUCCCUCCUUUUUCCAUCCGAGUCCCCCUCUCUUCAGAAUUUGAACUGCGGGUUGAUUAUCACAAAUUUAAGGGCUUUUUUUUUUGCAAAAUGACAAUGACGGUUGGAAGAAAUAUCCUCUCUUUAAUAAUAGGUAUAGAUAAGAGGCAAGGACGGCAUACCGUCUGCUCUAGUGCUUUGACCGGUCCGCAGCGGCAGUGGCGGCGCCGGGGAUAGCAGCCAGUUGAGCUUGGCGGUGCCGGUGAGGGCACGCAUGGCGACCAGAGGCACCUCUGCUGCCUGAUUCGAUCGCCUCUGUGCCCAUGGAGGCAUCGAGCAGUGGAUGGGCAGAUGAAAAAACUGUUCCCCUAUGUGGGGGCAUAUUGUUUAGAUGGGCCGGCCCAACGUGGGCGCCCACCACAAGUAGAUUUAUUAUUGAAAGGAAUCAGUGCUCGUAACCUAAGAGGGGAGGGGGUGAAUUAGGCAACUUAAUACCUUAACUGCUUCCACUACAUUGCAUCAAAACAUAGACUGGAGCACGUUAUCUAGAUGUGCAAGCUACGGUUGAUCUAGCAUGAGAUGCUCAUCCUAAAACAAGUUUUGCAACCUAUAGCCAAUCCUAUCAAGAUAUUACUCUUGUAAAGUAAAGGCACACAAGUUGCAAGUAUGAAAUGCGGAAACGUAAGGAGGGGAUGAGAGAAAGAAAACUCUUGACACAAUGAUUUAUCCCGUGAUAUCGGUACGCACUAAGCUACCAUUAAUCUACGUUGUUGAAGCACUCACACAAGAGUAUUAUUUUCCGAUCACCAAGUUCCUCCCAAGGUACCCCUUGUCUUGCCACAAAGGCUCACGCCAAGUGCCUCGGUCACCUUGAUGCCAUCUCCACUAAAGAGCUUCUCCACAAAGGAAGGGGGUCUCCCUGUCCGCCGCACAAGGUCGUCGACACCGCUCCACACCAAGUUGGAGGGUCAAAGACUUGCCGGCGAGCUACCAAAGCUCCAAGGAACCUGUACACCUCUUGUACAGGGAGAAGAGAACUAAUCCGAGACGGGAGCUCAGCUCUCUCCCAUUCCAUGUCAAGGCAGAGUGCUCUGCAUCAGCAUCUGCACCACCAUUUUCCCUUCCACUCGUGAUGAUUGCAGUGCAGGAUGCUAGGUAUAAUCCGGUCAUGCUUUCCUCGAGGAGCGCCAUCUUUCAAAUCGAAUAAUCGAUAGACCCACUCCGAUUAACCAAAGUGCUUAAUUAUCUGAUUGCGCUGUCUUUUUUUAUUAGAUUAGUAUUUCAGGUGCAACGUACUAGCUUGCUUAUAUGGAUCAGUACACAGUACUUUGAUGAGGUAAAUAUGCAAAACAGAAAAGCAUAAACGCGGCCGCACGCGUCAUCUUCUUCUGCGACCCCAUGCGGAGAGAGUUUCAUUCUUAGACUGGCACGCGGCCCUGUUCACUCAGACGGAGAUGGCCAGGCCCAGGCCCAGGCCCGCUUCAUAGGAUAACUUAUUUUGGCCUGUUUCAACUCCUUAUCUCAUCCAAUCCCUCCAACAACAGAUAGGAUUCGCACAUUGCAGCCAUGCCUAGAGCAAAACCAAACAUAAGCCAUUUUUUAAUUUUAACAUUUUUAAUAAUAUUUUCAUCCCGUGACACUUUUGAUCGUGUCAGUCCGUGUGUCACAACAAGAUAACACUAUCACGCAAUAUGCAUUGGUGUGAUGAGCCUGCCAUGCUGACAAGGGGAGAUGACAUGAACUCCUCUUGUCACGCCAACACAUGCGGCACAAGAACAUGAUUCUGCCACGCCAACUUGCCUCGGUGAUGAGUGGCAUGUACAAUUCAAUUUAUCCAAUUUGACCAUCUAAAUAAAAUAGUAUUUCAACAUUAAAUUCUACGAAACUCGGCAUGCACGGUGCAUACGGUGCGGACGUUCCAUUUUAGUAACAUGCGCAAUGCAAGUGCAUUAUAUUUUGAAAUUUUUAAUUUCAAAGUAGGCUUAUAUCCCGCUUAGGGUUCUAGUUAAAUAUACCUACUUGGGAGCAUCUCAAUAAAAUAGCGUUUGAACUUUGAAUGUCAAGCACACUAUAUAAGGUAUAGUGUAAAGGUCCCAUUUUACUAAUAUUUACAAGAUCAAGUGCUACAUAUUUGGAAAUACAUAAUUUAAAUGUAAGUUAUUUAUUGUCCCUCUAUCCCUCUUAGAACAGCUUCCAAGUGUUAAAUAAAUUCACUUCGGUUUUUUCUUUCCUUAGUUUAUUACUUAAUGAGCUUUAAAUAUUCUAAAACUCUAUUUAAUACGGAAGCAAAUAAUUAACAGAACUGGAUUACUAGCGUGAAUCAUACUCAUAUGGCAACUUUUAUCUGAAAAAAUGUUGGAAUGAUUGGAUGGAUUAGUUGCUAGGAAUGUUCAGUGUGCGCAUGCAUGGUGCAAGCUUGGACUGCAUGUGACGAAGAGAAACUAAACUGGAAAAAUAAUCAUAAUCAAGUGUGCGUACAGAUAAUGUCACAUAGAGUCAUGGAGAAGGAAGGCCCGACUUUGAUAAAAAGUUAUAGUAGUGCUCUGUUACCGCCAAUCGUUGUACCCUGAUUUCAAGAUUGCGUUUCCUUUCUUGAAUUUCCUUUUCAAUUCCAGCCCUUGCGUUGUUUUUGUCCCGCUGAGCUCGCCCCUCUGCUGCCGUCGAUAGUCGAAGACGUUCCUCAAUGCGUUUUUGUUUCCGCUUUUUCUCAACUUCUUUUUCCCUUUUCUCAAUUUCUUUUUCCCAUUCUUCAAAUUCACCGCUGCGGAAAACCUUACAUUCCAUGUUAUUGACCCAAAGGGUGAUCAUGUUGGGGUGCUCCGCGACUUCAUUUCUCAGUACAUCAAUUGCCUCGCGGAUGCCCGGACUGUCACUUCUAUAGUACCCGGAGCAUCGGAACACGACCUUCUCAAGACUGUCGAGAUGCUUGAUGCCCAUGUAGUAGUCUUGACUUACUGUGCCUGUGUAGAACUUGAACUCAAGAUGUUUCAGCUUCGGCAUCGCUCCUUCCCCGAAGGUGAUCACCCGUGGCAGACGGCAAUCAACGUAGAACGUCUCUAGCUUUGAGAACCCUCCAUCAGUGAUGGCAACCGGCUCCCGUGGGAGGACCUCGAACCUGAGUUGGAGAGCCUGCAGGUUGGGCAUCUGCGUCUUCAGAAACUCGAGGUCUUCGUGCACCAGUUUGCAGAGCCUGAUAUCUAAGGAGCAGACAUUGCACAAGUCUUGCUUGACCCACUGCGGGACUUUCAUGUGUCUCCCGGCAACUCUAAGCAUCCGAACUGGUAGGACUUCACACUUCGAGCCGAAAUGGUUAAAGAGGAUGAGGAUGGAUAGGUCAUCCCUUUGCGACAUAAUAACAUCUUCACAACCACUUUGCAACAUCAACUUCUCCACUUGAACAGAUAACCUAUUUAUGUUUGUAUCAACAACCACACUUAAUAACGGAUUCGGGUCUUUACUGCAGGAUAUCUCUCGUACCUUAGAACCACUUAUGUCCAGAGUCCUCAGAUGCUGCAGUUUCCCGAUUUCCUUGGGCAACUCUGUCACCGGUGUCCAGCUUACAUUCAGAGUCUUCAAAGAUUGCAAUUUCUCGAUCCACGUAGGCAGCUCCGUGACCUCUGUGCCACUUACAUCCAGAGUCUCCAAGCGCUCAAGGUUCUUGAUUUCCCUUGGUAGCUCCUUGACCUUUGUGUACUGUACAUACAGAUUCUUCAAAGAUUGCAAUUUCUCGAUACACGUAGGCAGCUCCGUGACAUUUGUGCAACCUACAUCCAGAGUCUUCAAAGAUUGCAAUUUCUCGAUCCACGUAGGCAGCUCCGUGACCUUUGUGCCACAUACAUUCAGAGUCUCUAAGUGCUGCAGUUUCCCAAUUUCCG
RNAcentral lists this long non-coding RNA (58223 nucleotides) under Setaria italica (foxtail millet). RNAcentral's name for it is "long non-coding RNA (SITA_LNC006316)". Lineage: Eukaryota; Viridiplantae; Streptophyta; Magnoliopsida; Poales; Poaceae. The record is from RNAcentral.